This 81749-nucleotide long non-coding RNA is filed under the name Eucalyptus grandis. Its description in RNAcentral is "long non-coding RNA (EGRA_LNC000917)". Lineage: Eukaryota; Viridiplantae; Streptophyta; Magnoliopsida; Myrtales; Myrtaceae. The record is from RNAcentral.
GAGAAUUUGAGAAGCUUACCCCAGGGUCUGCACACGCUGUCUCAGCUCACUUCCUUGGUGUUGUCUGGUUGUCCUGCUUUGGAGGUAGAGUGCUUCCCUCCUCUUCCUCCCAGUAUCUUGGAAUUUUUUCUGUACAGUUGUCCGAAGAUAAAAUCGUUACCUAAUCAAUUGUAUCGGCUCACAUGUCUCCGAAAGCUGUCAAUUUGGAGGUGUGAGAGAUUCACGCGCUUUCCCGACGGAGGAUUGCCGCCCCAGCUAUGGGAACUUGAGGUGACUCAAUGUGAGAAUAUGAAGCAACCGGUGAGGGAGUGGCUCACCCCUCUCACCUCCCUUGGAAGGCUAAAUAUCGACGGUAGUGCAGGAGGAGUGGGAGAGGAGGAGGAUCUUGUGCUUCCGCUCCCUUCCUCUCUGCUCCAUCUCUCUAUCCAUGAUAUGGGGAAAGUGGAAAGACUGUCCAGCAGUCUCCCUCCCUCUCUACAGAACUUAUGGAUCCAGUGUUGCCUGAAGCUGAGGGAGUUGCCCCAGGAUAGCCUCCCUCCCUCCCUCGAAGAACUCCUUUUAUACAAUUGCCCAAUUCUAGAGAAGCGAUGCAAGAAAGGGACCGGCUGCUAUUGGCCCCUCAUUUGCGAAAUCCCACAAAUUACAUUAGGCAUGUAUAUAGGCUGAGGCCUGGCUCUUUCAUCAUCUGUGUCCUUCCCCUGUUGUUGUGUGCACCUCCAUCGCCACCGCUGCUUCGGCUCUCCACUCCGUCGUCGUCCUCACCUCCAUCUCCAUCUCAUGAAUAUAUUCCAAUUAAAACAGGUAAUCAAUCUUUCCGAUCACUACUCUUCAAUACUCGUAGUCACUUCUCUUCUCAGAUUUGGCAUCACUUCUCCCCUCUCCUUUUUUAACUGCUUCUUCCCAUGUUUUCAUCGCUCCAGCCAAAAUUUAGAUUUCUCAGCUGCUUUUUUUUGUUUUGUUUUUUUUUUGGCAUUCUGAGCAGUUCUCCGCACUCCUCCGAUUCUUUCGUUCUUGCUGUGCUCCGCCUCAUUCUCCAAGAUUCUCUCAAUCUUGCUCGCCUUUCAAGUUACAUUGGAAUUCCCAUCAGUGAAGUUUGCCGGUACCAUGCCUAGAAGAAGAUGUUGCUGAAGGUGGGGACCCUGAGAUGUGAGAUUGCUUCUCAUUGUAGAGACGAAGAGGGGAGAUGCCAUCUGCAGGCUCAGCUGUCAUUAGCAUCUUUGACCUUUUUGUGGGAACUCUUUCCCAUGAUGGUUCUCAAAUUACUCGCUGGGGAUAGAGGUAUGUAUAUAUGUUCUCUUUCCCUGUUUAUUAAUUAUCUGUUCUCCCCUGAUAUUCAAUCCAUUGGACAUAAUUUAUAUGAUAAAUAAAUAGCAAAAGACAAGUUUUGAAAAUGUUUGAAAGUUGCGUCGCAUCGAAAAAGCGUAGCUCAUAACUUCAUAUGGAUAGAGCAAGUUCAUGUCAUGUUAAUGGCAGUUAGGUGCUUUAAAUCCUCUUUCCUGCUUUAGUCUGGAAACUCCAUUUGAACACAUUUACAAAGUUGUGGAAUGUGCCUGAAUACUCUGAUUUCGAUAAGUGAAAAUUACUUUUGCAACAUUCACCAUAAGUGGAAGGAAAUCGAUAUUGACUCUCUGUCUGCAUUUACCGAUGCAAAGUACUUAUUCCGACACAAGCAAUCUUCUCAUUUCUGAGCAUACUGCGGCUCACGAUGGAAUCUAUGGGGCAAACGAAUUUUAUUGCAGCUCAACCCUCUGUUCCAUCAUUCUACUCACCAUCCAAGAUUAAGGAAUGGUUUAGUUGGUUUGAGUAUAGACACAAAUGAAGGCAUUUUGUGGACUGGGUAGCACUCAAUGAAAUCUUUCCCCAUUGUUCAUUUUGUAAUUAUUGCUAUUCUGCUUCAUGGAAUCAAAGAAGUGAGUAAAUUUGCUAUUUCUUUUGACUGGCUGUUUAAAAGCUGCUUAAAAGGUGGGUAAUAAUCAUGGGUUAUAAUCAGAAUCUAAAAAGAAUUUCUUCCGAAUGAUUUAGCAUAUUGUCGUCAUAUCCAACAAAUUAUCCAUGUUCUACUUGUUCAUUUCUAGCAUUCUAUCAAAACACACGUCAAUGAUUAAAAAUUUCUCGAAUGUUAUGUUGUUUGUUCUCAUUUCCCUGGUUAUCUCAUUGACGUGAUUACGUCCACCUUCUGUAGUGUGUGCGUAAGGGAUCAGUUCCAUGCAAGGGGAAUGUUAAGUUAUACUUUUUAUAUGCAUUGCUUGACAAGAUUUCUAACAGCUUAAGCUUUUACAAAAAUUUUUAGUCUAACAUGCAGCAAUCAAAUCAAAUGACAUGACCAAUCAGCAAACCCUAUGUUCUUGUUUGGUUUUUUCUUCUAGUAACUGUGGGAGACUUUCAGAUAGGGAUUAUAAGCUUCUCAAAAAAUCAAUGAAUUACAACAAGAUUUAAAGCUUGGACAGUUAAAAGCCCCUCAUAUGCCAGCGAACUUUAGCUUAUUAAAUCUGUUAUUCAUAGUGUGGUUAAGUUUUAGCGUCAACUCCUUUUGUUGCCCAAGAAAGAUUUUAAAAUGGUUGGCAAAAGUGUAGAGCUUUUCUUUGGAAGGGAGAUUCUUAUACUAAAGAGGGAGCAAAAGUUAGAUGGGACACCGUCUGUCGUCCUAAGAAGUCUCAAGGCCUUGGCAUUCAAAGACUUGGCAUUCAAAGACUGGAUUUGUGAAAUCUUGCUUGUAUUUUAAAGUGUCUGUGGAGUUUUUUGUUGAAGUGAAGUCUCUAUGUUUUUCCUGGCUCUAUAGCUAUCAUCUUGACAGUAGACCACAUGCUACUUAUGCUUUGAAGAAGUUAUUAAGAGUUGAGAAUAUUUUGAAACCCCACAUUAGAUAUAUAGUUGGAAAUGGAGAUAAUAUUUCUCUUAAUUUGAUUUGUGACACCGUACCGGGAUCUUGCCCUCAAGGAGAAUAAUUUAUGAAUCCUCUCUUCCUUCGCAUGCCAAAGUAUCUGCCGUAAUUUAUAACUCUCAUUGGAAACAUUAUGUUACUUAAAAAGGGUGUUUUUAAUUUUUGCAGAUAGCAAUUGGGCAAAACAAGGGGCUGUGAAAAAUGCCCCUUCCAUCAUCAUCUCCUUCUCCUUUGUUGUCUGCACCUUAAUCACCUAUGCUUCAUCUCUCCGCUCCCUUGUCCUCAAUUUCAUCACUGUCUUCAUCUCAUGAAGAUGUCAUUAAAAUCAGGUAUCAAUCUUGCCAUUUACUACUACUCUCUACUCUUCUACUCGUGGUCACUUUUCUUCUCAGAUUUGGCAUCGGUUCCCCUAUCAAUUGAAAUGCUUCGCAUAAUUUCUUUGAUCCAGCAAAAAUGAAAUAAAAAUCUGGGAUGUUAUUAACAGACUGUUGCAAUUAUAUUUGGAUUCUCAGCUUAUUUCUGCAUUCUAUCAGUUUUCUGCACUCAUCCAAUUCUUUUGUCAUCACUGUGCUCUGUCUCAUUCUCCAAGAUUCCCUAAAUCUUGCUUGCCUUUCAGAUUACAUUGGAAUUCCAUUUGUGAAUUGUGUUGGUAAGACCCAGCGACCUAUAGAAAGGUCUAUAUGCCCUUCCUUCACCAUCGCCUCACUGGUAUUAAGUCUAGGAGGAGAAGAUGCUGAAGGGGACCCUGGAUGUGAGAUUGCUCCUCAUUGUAGAGACAAAGGGACAUGCCACUGUGGGCUCUAUUCUUAAGAUCUGACUUUUGUGGAAACUUUUCCAUGAUUAGUUGGUUCUCAAAUUACUCACGAAGAUAGGUAUGUAUACAUGUUUCCUUUCCCCAUUCAGUAAGUGUCUGUUUUGCCCUGACGUUAGAUGAAUCUAAAGUCUAGACAUAAUUUAUAUGAUAAGUUAAUAGCAAAGACAAAUUUGAAAAUGUUUGAAAAUUGCAUCUCCUUGAAAAAGUGUAGCUCAGAACUUCGGAUGGAUAGAGCAAGUUCAUGUCAUGUUAGGGUGCGUUUGUUUGCGUUUCUGUUUAAAAAUUGUUCCAGGGAACAGAAAUAGAAAAAAGUGUUUCUGUUCCUGGGAACAAUUUCUGAACAAAAAAAUGCGUUUGGUAAACUUGUUCCGGGAACAAAAAAUAAAUAGAAACACGUUUGGUAAAUUUGUAUAAUUUUUUUAUUUCUUUUAUUUUUUCUAUUUUUUUCUUAUUUUUCCUUUUUUCUUUUUUCUUCUUUUGGCCGGUCGCCGGCCUUGGCCGAGGCCGGCGACCGGUGAAAGAAAAAAGAAAGAAAAAGAAGAAAAUUUUCAAAAGUGUUUCUGAUUUGUGUUUCAGAAACAAGAAACACAAAAUUUGUGUUUCUUGUUUCUGUUUCUUUUUUGUUCCUGGGAACAAAAGAACAAAAAAACAGAAAACAGUGUUUAAAAACAAAAAAAAAGAAAUACAAACAGAGCGCAGCCUUAAUGGCAGUUAAGAUGCUUUAUAUCCUCUUUCCUGUUUUAGUCUGGAAACUCCAUUUGAACACGUUUACUAAGUUGUGGAAUGUGUACCUGACUAAUUUCCUUAUAUCUCUGAUUCUGAUAUGCGAAAAUUACUUUUGCAGCAUUCACCAGAAGUGGAAGGAACUCAGUACUGGCACAAAGUACUUAUUCCCACACAUGCAAUCUUCUCGUUUCUGAGCUUCCCUCUGAUGCAGAUCGAGAUCUAUGGGGGAAACAGAUUUAUUGUACCAUUCCAGCAUUUUACUCACCAUCCAAGAUUAAGGAAUGGUUUAGUCCGUUUGAGUACAGACACAAAUGAAGGCAUUUGGCAUCCCAGAUGGCACUCAAUCAAAUUUUUUUCUUGUUCAUUUUGAUUACUAUUCAAAUUCUGCUUCGUGGAAUCAAAGAUGCAUAGACCUGAAGUCGCUGGUUGGCAAAGUUUAAAGGGUAGGUAGAUUUGUUUCUGCUAUUUCUUUUGUCAGGCUGUUUGAAAGACACUGGUAAUGAUCAUGGGGUAUAAUCAGAAUCGAGAAGGAAUCUUUUCUCAAGGAUUAGCAUACUGUCUGCAUUCUUACUUGUUUAGUUAAAUUUCCAACAGAUUGUCCACUUUCUAGUUGUUCAUUUCUAAUGUUGUACUGAAGCACAUGCAAUGGUCCAAAAUUUCUUGCCUAUUAUGUUGUUUGUUCUCCUGUUCCACGGUUAUCUUAUUGACAUAAUUACGACCACAUUUUGUCGUAUGUGUCUAAGGAAUAGGUUCUACCUAAGGGGGAGUGUCAAGUUAUGAAUUAUGUAUACAUUGGUUGGCAUGUUUCCUAACAAGCUUUUAGGAAAUGCAACAUGCAGCAAUCAAAUCCGACAGCCUGACCAAUCAGCCAACCCUAUGUUCUUGUUUGGUUAGUUCUUCUAGUGAUUUGGGAUUGUCUGGAGGACUUUCAGAACAGGAUUGUUGGCAUUGAUUGAAUUACAAUGGGAUUUAAAGCUUGGACAGCUAAAAGACUCUCAUAUGCCAGCUGACUUCAGCUCAUUAAAUCUAUUGUUCAUAAUCUGGUUAACAAGUAGUGUCAACUCUUUUUGUUGCCCAAGAAAGUUAUUAAAAAGAUUGAGCAAAAGUGUAGAGCUUUCCUUUGGAAGGGAGAUCCUGAUGCAAAAGAGGGAUCAAGAGUUAGAUGGGACCCUGUCUGCCUUCCUAAGUAGUUUGGAGGCCUUGGCAUUUGAAGACUGGCUUUGUUAAAUCUUGCUUAUGUUGAAGUGUCUGUGGAUUAUUUUGUUGAGGUGUGGGUCUCUAUUUUUGCCUAGCUCUGUAGCUACCAUUUUGACUGCAAAGCAGAUGCUACCUUGGAAGUUAUUAAAAGUCAGGAAUACAAUGUAACCCCGCACCAGAUAUAUGGUGGGUGAUAGAGAUAAUUUGCUAUGAUUUGUGGCACCAUACUGGAAUCUUGCCAGAAUCAUUCUCAAGGUGAAGAAUUUAUGACCCUUCUCUUCCUCUGCAGGCCAAAGUAUCUGCUGUAAUUCAUGGCUCUCAUUAAAAGUAUCUGCUAGGUCUGAAGAGUUGGUUUCCAUCCAAGGUGCAGUUUGUGGUGUGAAUUUUCCUAAUUCCUCAGCUGCAGAUGAAGUUGUAUGCAAAGCUUCUUCAAACGGUUGCUAUAACUCCUUUGUUGCUUGCAAAAUUGUCAAAAGCAGGAGUAAAAUGUUGACUGGCACAAACUUGUGGGUUCUCCCCUAAUGUGCCAAGAGCUGGCUUUUUAUCUUGGUUGGUAAUACGUGAUAAACUCCCCACUUUUAAGAGGAUUUACGGUUGGUGUGUUGGGAGUACUAGAUCUCUCUGAUUGUUCUGUAAUAUAAGCAUGGAAUCUUGCUCUCAUCUAUUUUUCGAGUGUAGUUUCUCUAAUCAAGUAUGGAGCAAGGUGCUGCAGCUUUGUUGGAUUCAUGAAACUCCAAGAGUUUGGGAUUACGAAUUUGGUUUAAUAUAACAAGCUGCUCAGGGAAAGAUUUUCAGAAGUGUCUAUUAGAGUUUAUAUGGAACCACUGUAUCUGUUAUAUCUUGAGUCCAUGAAUAGUUUGUAUCAGAUACAGGUAGUUCCUUUGGGUUGUUGAUGUAAUCAAAAUUAUCAAGCUUGGAAUCUAAGAUUGCGAAAACUAUCCAGCUAAAGGUUUGUUUUUCUACCCAAAAAAAUAAAAAGUAAGCUUUGUUUUAAGUUGUGCUUAUUGUUGUUUUCCGGUGUGUAUAGUUGCAUGUUUUUGCUCCAUGUCAUCUCUAUGCUUGUGAUGGCAGACGGAUGUCAACUUCAAUCACUUGUUUGGCGUCCAAUCUUCAUGAGUUCCAAUUUCUAUGUUACUGGCCUUCUCAUUUCUCCAUAUAGUUAUUAAGGAAGAAACCCAAUUAAUGAAAGGGAUCUCCUUUUCGGCUUCUUUUUUCCGUUCCAAGAGAGACUUUACAGCAUUUUAGUCUUUCUUUUUCUAUUUUCGAUUCAUAUUAAUUUCACUGGGUUGCAUCUGCUAGAAAUUCUACGUCCAAAUUGAUCUUCUGCUUGUAAUUCUUCGUCUUAAUUUCGUCUUCAUUUUAAUGAAGAGAUAAAUUUGGAAUCAUUGAUGGUGUUUGUGCUCGUGCUUACGUUUAUCCAACAGAAAGCAAGUUUGCCGAUGAAGGCCUUCCGAGAUCCAGCCCACGUCUUUGACAUGAAAAUCCAACUUAGGAAGUACUUUGCCCACUUGAAACUCGGGGCCUUUAAAUUGUCAAAAAACACUAAAAGAUAAUUAAAGUAGGAAAUAUGGUGAUGACAUGGUUAAAUUGGUAGUCUUACAGCGUAGAAUUGGGAAGAUUGUGCGUACUUGCUGUCAUCAUAUUUUCGAAGUCUAUAUAAUGACUUCUACUAGCAGCGUUCUUAGAUCAAUCCUAGUAAUAAAUACAACUCGUUAUUUAUGAAAGUGAUUUUUUUAGGUUCGUUUGGUUUUUUUUACUGCAAGUCUUUGUAUUAUAAGGUCUUGUUGCGAGAAAAGAAAGCGGAAUAGAAGGAAUGGGAGAAUUUUGCUAAUAAUUCAAUUAAUGUGCAGGAAAAAAGCCAAGAAUAAAAGAGAAAAAAAUAUAUAUCAUUGUGGGAGAAUUUGGGGUUAAAAAGUUGACAGUAAAGCGUUAACAAGUACUGGUCGCAUAAAGUUGCAACGAUGAGUCUCAACUUUUCGUAUAUUUACUCACAAAUUUCACGAUCACCCCUAAACACAUGGAUUACUAAUCACGGAAUUAUGAGGACUCAGAUAAGAAUGAAGGAUUUCAUCUCCCUCGAGAAGUACAGAAAAACCCUAUUAGAAGGUCCAUAUACCCUUCCUUUAUCAUCGCCUCACCGGUGUUAAGUCUAGGAGAAGAUGCUGAAGGGGGACCCUCGUUUUACUUAACGUGCAAUUUGCUAGAUGAAAUCUAAAGUCUGCACUUAAUAUAUAUAUGACAAAUAAAUAGCAAACACGAGUUUAUGUAACAUCCCAACAAAUGUGCUGGUACAGUGAUAAAGAGGCGAAGUGAUCGGGUUGACCCAAGAAAGUUGUAAGGCCACAUGAACAAAGUUCAAGUGAAAGCUGUGAGGCCACAUGUACAGUCACAUAUAUAUAUACAUAUUUGUUCUUUUCCCCACUUUUGAUAGUUUUAUUGUCCAUGAAGCGAACUUCAGAAAAUUCGAAAAACGUUGAAAAAUCCGUAAAACGUUUUCCUAGAAGUUAUAUUUCAUGAAUCGAAUGAAACUCAAUGCUCUAUUUGUUUUUAUGGAAAAUGAAUGAUUGAGAAAAUAUUUUUCUAUAAAUAACCGCUUAUAUUGUUUAAAAUAAUUAGUCAAUGAAAAAUGUUUUCAGUAUUGAUAAUAAUUUAUUUUUAAACAUUUCUGUGAAAGGUGAAUAUUAUUUUUAGGAAAAUAUUUUUCUAAUCAUUCUUUUCUCGCGAAACAAAUGGAGUCUUAAAAAAAUGACAAGUCCUAUUGGAAAGUCAGAGACAACUGUAUAUAACUCAAAGAAACUGGAAGGCCGAUGGUUCGUAACGAAAACUUCAAUAAAACAACAAAAUAAGGUGGUGGAUAUACAGGAUAUCUUCAUGGUUGGAAAGUAACGAUGGGCUAUCUACGAGGAUGCUCCGUUUGUCUAAAACAGAAUUGCGGGAAAAUGAAGGAUCAAUGAUUUGCAUCAACAACUUGCGAUCAGAAUUCACACUGAACUCAUUCCAACAACCUACAUCGCUAACCAUCCAGCAUAUCGAGUCACUUAUCGGAACAACACGCUUCUGAAGAAAAACAAAUCAUCUUCGAACUACAAAAGAAAAAACACGCCCGCAAAGGCCAAUUCAAUAAGACAACCACGUGAGAAAUUUAGCUCCAUUACAAGACAGUUCUUUUGUUUCUUGGGCCAAGUAAAAUGAAUGAACCAUCUAGUUUCCCAGUUACGGUGAUUGAGACGCUUAAUAUGGACAGAGUAUCAAAAGCACAAACGUCAAGAGAAGUUUCAAACCCCCGGGGCAUAUAUACGGAUUCAACGAGAUAGAGAGCCAGAAUUAGAAGAAAAUGAGGGCAUCCUAAUGAGAAAUCUAUCCAAACCUUCACGCAAACGACCCACUGAAUCCAGUAUCCACAACAGGAUCAAAGCAGCACAAUUCAACAUCAGACAGCGUCACCGUCUAAGUCAAACACAUGAAUGACGCCGACCUGAAUUGCGAUUCAACGUGAUGAGAAACCCUGACCUGAGACGGAUUGCGAGGAGCUGGAUUUCCAGAUUCUGGCUCCAUGAACGGAGUUGUCAAGCCGGAGAACUCUCUCUAUCUGGAGUGAAACGGUAUUACCAGUGCGUUUUAUGAACCCUCGAAUUAUUCUAAGCUUGGCCGACCAAAACAUUACGCAGAAAAAGAAGUCGAAUCAUCCAAGAAAAUCAUCUGAUGGUGGCAGGAAGAGGAAAGCGAUCGAGAAAUUCCUUUGGCAGCCGCGUCACCCUGGACGCGUGAAUCAGCACGACAAACAAGAUGGAAAACAACUCUGGAAAACAGAGAAAUUCCUUCGCAGCUGCGUCAUUCUUAUGUUAUUACACGGAUUAAGCAUGGCAUAUGUGUUGAAUUCUCACAUUCACUAUUUUAGCUCUCUCCAUUAUAUAUUUGUCUUCUGUGAAUGGAAUGGAGUACCGUUGGUAUAAUUGUCCACAUAAUCAGACGGAUUUGAGUUUUACUUUUAAUCCCUAUGAUAAGAAUUUAAAGUGUUAUUUCUUUUAAUUUUUAACUAACUGCACCCUCAAUUGGCUAGUUAGUAAAUGCCUGUGUACCCCCUUUGAAUGGCUGGAAUUAUCAUUUGACUUUACCGAAAAAAGGGCACAAGCUUAUGCAUUUACCCAAAAAAAAAAAAAACGAAAAGAGUAAAAUCUAAAUUUAAUAGGCGGUAUCGGCGGAAAACUUUUAACUCGAAGAGACUGGAAAUGUGAGGAAAAAAAUUGGAUGUCAAUGAGCUACGGUUAUAUUAAGUUAGAUUUGUAAUCUACAUCAUCUUACUCGAAAUUUUAAUCAUCACGUUCAAUUUACUGCAAUAUUAUGAUUACACUAAACAUGAGGCAUAAUUGAAAUUUAGAUGGAUUAUUACCUUUAAAAGUAGGAUCUCCCUUUCCUUGUAGUAAUAUGAAGAGACCGUGAUACUCAAUAUCUAAUGGAUAAAUUAUCUCCUUCUGAAUUUAUUGGCCCCUCUGUUCCCUUUUGCCAUCCAACUUCGGGCAAUUAAGCCUAAUCUAUCCUUGAGAGCAUUAGACCAUGAAAGAUCGAUGACUAUGUGGGUCUCUCAAUUGCUGGUUUUGCACAUAAUUGUUAUAUAAAACGGUACUAAUAAAGGCGAAAAUUGGCAAAAUUAUUGAGCCAGUAUGUAGAGACACAAAUUGGUGUCCGCCUGGUCAAGAUAAUGAGAGCAUUUGGGUUUUUCUAAAGACUGAAAGGAAAUAUAUAUACUCAAGAAACUGUCUCUUGAUAAUGUGAGACUAGUGUUGUCUUUAAUCUCGUUUUGUUUUAUUAAUGAAUUGUUUCAUCAUGAGCAUGGCAAGCAGAAUCACACUUUUGGCGAGAGCACGAAUAUGCUUGGAUGACUCAACUUUGUCUCGAGUUUCAUGCUCUCUAGCGAUAUCUCAAGUUCAUGUUUUCACAUGAGAGACGACUUAUAAAAUAAAAGGAAUAAAAAGAAAGUAAGUCUUAUCCUUUACAAAAGUUAGACAUGACAUAUGGACGUAAGACCAGACAUUUAGCAAUGAACCCAUCAUUGACCCAUCAAAGGACAUGUUUAAAUGUUACAAAAAAAAUGAGGUCUUCCGAUCGUAAUGAUAAUCUCAAGUUAAUACGUAUAAAUGUGAUGUUAAGUCCUAUUAUAUCUUGGUGCUUUUUGCCCCUCCAAGCGCCUUAUCAUAACCUGUGGAUCUCCAUUGGAGUAUUCGUUGGUUGGGUUAAACCUAAAUCCAACCAAGAGAUUCCGCAUAUAAUUGUUGGUGAUCAAUAUCUCACUCUCAAUUUUGAUAUCAUCCAAUAAAAGAAACAAGUGAAAGAAAAGUAUGGUGAAGUGAUUGGAUUAGACGUCCCACCGACAUUUGCAAAUUGAUCAUAAUAUAAUGAUUUUGAUCCGAACACUCUGCGAGAAGGGCGUUUAACCUGAAUGAUCCAACCAACAUUUGCAAAUUGAUCUGAGUACAACGGCUUUGGUCCAAACACUCUGUCCCAUGUUAUGGGUUUCCGGCAACUACAGAAAUCAUCCGGGAAUCAGUAUUUUAAGAUAACCAAAGGUAACACAUGAAGAAGCACUUGGUCCAUGAUAUAGAGUCGCACGUGAUUGCAGCUGGAUAGCUUUUGAAGAAUGUAUAUAUCUCCAUGAUUUGAUUAAUGUUUCAUCUAUUAUAUUAUACGAAAUUUAAAUCAGAAAACGAUGAGAAGGCUGUAGCUGCAGUAUCUAUGAAAUAAUUUUCUUUCCAUCCUCUUUUUUGGAGAUUGAUCACAGAUUAGAGAGUUGUGACCAAUCUGUAAAUGUGUGCUACAUUACAUAUGUUGGCGAGAUAGGAAAGUUACUGAAGUCCUAAACUGGAGUGAAAUGGAGACGGCAUUUGGUGGACUAAACAUGUUAGGAAUGGGGGAACUAGAAAGAACAGAUUUCAAGUAUUUAAAUGACUGGCUGAGGAUAAUUUCCGAGUCGUGGUAUUAUGGUCACCCUCCUUACGCCCUUCAAAAUCCACAAUAGAGGAUACAUAAAUCAACUCUAUGCAAUUGCACGGAAACAAUGUUGAUCAGGUUUGAGCUUCGCCGGCAAAACCGACGUUCAUUUUUGUGGAAAAUCAUCUCAGGGAUCGAAUUGGUCCUCAAUGGCGAAACCUGACUCCUUUCAUCUAAUCCUGCAUUCAUUCUCUCUGCCUAGCGUCCUUUGCAUUUCGAAUUAGGGACGUCGAAGUUUCAAGACCUUGUUGGAUCCGGCGACAAAAAAAUUUCACCAAUGAAGACCCAGAGGCUGGUCAAACGUCAACAGCCCAGUUUGAUCUUAAUGGAUGCAAAGAAAAGAACAAGACGAGCUCGGUCCGAGAAAAGCCCCGCUUUGAUGGAUCUGGCUCUUCAUUAUUUUUUUAUUUGUUAUUUAUUAUAAAAUAAUAAUUUAUUUAUUAUUAUAAGUAUUAUUAUCUUAAUUUUUUUUACAAAGGAUGCAUGUUUGACCACCAUCGCGACGCAAAUGAGCAUUUUCCACAAUAUUAUGAAUAAUUAAAUGAGAUAGUACCAUUUUAGUCAAAUCCACAUUCAAUGAGAUUUUUUUUUUUUUUUUUUUUGGGUUGGUGAAUUCAAUAGGAUUCAAAAGUGUCAACAUAAUAUAAAUUUAGAACUCUCUUCCACAAGUUGACAGUUAUGGAAAAAUUAUGUGAAGUGCGUCUUUGGGUAAUGUGAUAAAUAUAACUAAUUAAAGUGUAGAAGCUAUAUGAACGUUUUUGUUUUUUUUUUAAUAAGAUCCAGUUUAGAAUCUGGAAAUUCUUGAAAUGUGAUUAUCUUGAUCUAGUAAGUGCAAUUUAUGCAAGGUCACUCAUGCAGCAAUGCCUAUAUGUUUGGUGUGUUUUUCAUGUAGUUGUGCUGGUUGAACACUUGUGGUCUUGGGACUAAAAGGAUGCCCAAAUUUCAUUUGUUUGAUCGUUGUCAUCGUCAUCAUUAUUCUUGCUAUCUCUUUUAGCAUUUGUUAGGCAAAUUUUGGAGGAAGCACCGGCAAUCAAAACUUAACAGAUCUCUUGGAUCUUGACGCAUAUGGUCAACUUAAGACCAAUCCUUGCUUUUCUUCUUCUUCUCGUGAUAGUAAUAAAUAGCUUAACUCAAGCCUUUGGCUCUCACAAGUAGCAUUGCUUGAGUCGGUUCUUAGUUGGAUGGUAAAUUAAGCCAUGCAAUGGACAUGAACAAUAAAUGCAUUGUGGUAGAUUGAAUCCUAGCAAGAUUUUUUUUUGGGUAGAUAUGUGAUUCGGGGAUGGACUAGAUGGCCUUUAGUCAAUCCAACAAAACGGUGAAUGAUUGUUGAGACUUAAAAGCUUGAAAAAAUGUGGCUCUUAGUAGAAUAGGAAAUGUUACUGCCCAACAUGAGUUGACAAUGACAAGGAAACUAGAAUUAUAAGUGGAAGAAUUUGCGACACUCCAAAUCUCACGUAAGAUGGGAAAGAACUUGAGAUAUAAGUUGAAACCUACUCCCAAGAAUCACCAUCUAUAUUCUUUUUUAGGGAGAUUGGCCCCGCUGAAUGCUCCAAGUCAUUACAUGUGUUCAUUUAGAUUGAGGAAUUGUCACUACCCAACAUGAGUUGACAACAACGAGGACACUAGAAUUAUAGGUGGAAGAGUUUGUGACACUCCAAAUCUCACAUAAAAUGGGAAAGAACUUGAGAUAUAAGUUGAAACCCACUCACGAGAAUCACCACUUGUAUACUUUUCUAGGGAGAUUGGGCCCGUUGAAUGCUCUAAGUCAUUACACGUGUCCAUUCAAAUUGAGUAAAUUUGUGUCCUCAUGUAAUAUUUGAUGGAGCAAAAUGAAGAUAAGAAAUUCCCUAAAGUUAGUCCUAAUGUAUCGCAUUAGAAAGUUAAUUCUAGACCCAAUCAAUAAAAGAUCCGCUCUAAAUGUGGACCGAUUGGUACUAUUUUUAAGGCAGCAGGCCCGACCCACAAGAUCACAACCUUAAGGUCAAUGAGCAGAUCAAUCCCUGAUCCAUGCUAAUGGUCCGAGAACAGAAUAAUAGGAACGACAUGUUAAUUAGAAUUGAAAAAUCAUUGUUCUAAAGAGCAUGAGAAACAUUGCACCAAACUGAAAUUAGAAUUAUUCAAUCGCAUCGUUGCCAAAUGCCAUGUCUUUCUUAGGGCUCCUGUGAAGUAGCUCGCAUCAUUAUCUACUAGUGAGAAGUGAAUAAUUCAACUUCAUUUGCGAUUAUCAUAUUUUUCACUUCUAGGAAGACUGUUUCUGAGGUGUUUUUUCGUACAAGUUCAGUGAAUAUUUCGAUUAUUUAGUAUUCAUUUUUUUUUUAGCAAUGAUAAUCAAGAAAACUGUAAGGGCAUGUAGAUUACUUUCUUGAGUUUGACUUAUAUGUAUUUUCUUAUGUUGGCUGACUUUUGUGACCAUCUACUAUUAACUAAGUCAGCAUGAGAUUUAUAACACAUUUAAAUAUCUUGCAGAUUACUUUUUUUUCCAAUAGUGAAAUUUAAAUUCUCAAAAAUAAAAUGUAUGUGUUGAGGUGUGAAAACUUCAAUCGAUCGGCGCACGGGUCAAAUUCUAGUUGUCUUAAAAGCAAGAGCAAUUACUCGGUCUUCUUCACUUUACUUAAUAAUGAAAUGUUUUUUCAAAAAAUGGUCAUACAUGUUCCAGGGAAAAAUUAGUACAAUAAUUUUUUGUUAAUUGAUUAGUUAGCGCCCUAAAGGUAAUUCUUUUGAAAGACAGUUAUUUUUAUUGAAAAGAACCUAGGGUUAUUGGCUCAACAUGUGAAACAUGCUCCUUUUUAACCGCAGGGAAAAUAUUAUUGUCCUUAGAGUAGGACUUGUAGAGUACUUUGGACCUUACAUGGCCACGUGAACCACGCCAUGUUUUUAGUUGCAAAUUACUCGCGACAUCGAUGUUACAUUGGAAAAAGAGAAAAGAAAAGUAAAAGCAAAAGGACGGCAAUAUUAUUGCCCUCUAAGUAGGGGUGAGCAGUGGUUUAGAGUCGACUUUGGACCGACCCUGGACCGGCCCAACUCUGCCGGUCCUGGUCCGGUUCCCAAGGGGACUGGGUCGGUCCUUGGUCCUGGAAUUCCAGGACCAAUACUGUGCGAGUUGGUCCUCGGUUCUGAGAGUUUUGGGUCGGUCCAACCCUGGACCAACCCUGUUUAUUAUAUUAUAUUAUAUUAUAUUAUAUUAUUUAUAAUUCUUUUAUAUAUUCAAACCUAAGUAAAAUUUAUGUUAUAUUAUAUUAUAUAUAAUUCUUUUAUAUAUAUAUUAAAACCUAAGUAAAAUGAUGUUAAAGUUGUUGAUUCCUCAUGCUCAUAGUCAUGGACAGACGGCAUCCAAUUCCAAAAGGCGUGAAGUUUACGCUGUAAAGGUCUUCACGGCCUCCUCCUCCACAGUCUAGACUCCAGAGUACAUUAUUCACCAUGAGGACCAAGGACUCCUCAUAGUCAUGGACUCGCGACGUCCAAAAUGACGCGAAGUUUAUGCCGUAAAUCUCCUCAAGGUUUUCUUCCCUAAAGUACGUUCUCUUCCAUUUUGUCUUCUUUGUUCUUCAAUUUACCAAAAUCAAAAGUAGCAACAUCCUGCUCGCCUCUGGUUGCCCGCGCCACUCACCUUUGACCGUGCGCGCUGCUGUGCGCUCACACUCACACUCGCCCUUUGCUGUGUCGCUAGCCUUGCUAAUGCUCGCCACUCACCACUCGCUGCUAGUCUCGCUCAAUGCUCGUCGCUUGCUGCUGGCAUCACUAAAUGCUUGCCGCUGGCCUCACUAAACGCUUGCCGCUUGCCAGUUGACGCUCACCCCACUCAACACUUGACACUUGUGCUCGCCACUCGCGCUGGUUGCCUCACUUAUCACCGAGUAAAUCAAAAGGAAAAAAGAAGAAGCCCUAAUUAGAAUGCUCAGCUUGCCCUUGCUUUCCAAACACAACUUGACUAGUGAUAUCUACUUUGUGCUUCAUUUGAGAUCUUGUAUUGGUAUUUAUAGUUUGGUUGCACAAUGCCACAUUGUCGAUGGAUGUGUAAUUUGAAUUUGUAGGUUUACUUUUUUAAGGAGUAUAAAAAACAAGACGAAAUAAAUUAUCGAUCAGUCCCGGGUUGACCCUGGAACUGAACCGAACUCAUUGGGUCGGUCCGGUCCUUGGUCCCAGGCUCAAUAGGGUCGGUCCUCGGUCUUAAAAAUUGAGGACCGACACUGUACGGGUUGGUCCUAGGGUUAGGGGGUGGCCCGGACCAACCCGGACCAUGCUCACCCCUACCUCUAAGGACCUAUAGUGGAUGGGGGACCUUAUAAUUGAGUCUUUGAUGCUUCCUAUCUGAAUAAAAUAACUGAUGGACAUGGAAGAUGUGAAAAGGCGAGGAAGGUCCUAAGUUCAUAAAAGUUCAUCCUAUCAAACGUCCCUUGUCACCAACCAAACAAAAAAAUGAAAGAAAAACGUUGUAUAUCCAUGUAAAAAGUAUCAUAUUUCUAACUAUAAAUGAUUCGUGACGUUAGCAUCAUUUUCAAAGAAAAAGGCAAAAGGACAAGCAUACAUUAUUGUCCUCGAAGGACUUGUAGUGGAUUUUGGACCUUAUUCGUGUCCGAUUAAAGCAAUGAUGGACAUGUGACGUGUGAAAAGACCAAGAUGACCCUAGAUUUGCAAAAGCUCAUCCAAAAAUUUCGAAGUAAGAAGGAUAUCAUUGUCAUAAUAAUUGUAGGAUGCCUAUUUUAGUACCAAAAUUUUUCAAAUAGAAAAAUCACCAAUUCAGUCCUAAAGAGGUCUAUUGUACAAAUUGAAAUAUAGUCUUUCAUCUUUCAAUUUGACCAAUGUAGUUUUUCUAAUUAAUACUUGCCCGAAGUUGUUGACAUGAUGGUCCAAUUAUCAUCAAUCAUCUUUCAUGGCAAACUGGGGAUCUAACAUGGACAAAUUUCGACUAUGAUUAAUAGAUACUACCUAAUCACAAACUCCAUUAGCAUUUUUCGGCCAAGAAUUUGGAUUUAUUAUAUUACUAAUAUUAUAAAUUCAAGUUAAGAAUAAAACUUCUGGUGAAAAAAAAAAUCAAGAAUAAAAUGAAAGAUCUUGAUCACCGAAUCACAAUCAAACUUACCCCUUUUGAGUAUACCAAUUCAACCAAUUGAUGUGAAGAUAUAAUAUUCAAUAUUGAAGCUUUGAAGAAUGGUGAUAUUUUAAUAAUGUUCAUAUCACUAAGCCACCUUUCCAAACUCACUGCUUAAACUACCUAACUUCUAUGGUUGUGUUUGGUCAUGUCUUAAUAAGCUAAUGUUCGAUAUAAUAGCAUUUGGUCGAAGUGAAUUCUCCAUCAAUUUUCUCAUGCUCAAUUUCAUGUUUGAAGGAUGAUAGAUCUUACCAUGCACUACGAUAAAUAUUUUCGAGUCUAAACUACUUAAGCUAAGUAAAAAAACGGAGGAGCUGAGUAUCAAAUCAGUCGGUAGUCAAAACAAUGAGUCAAUUUGUCGAAAUAUCACCGAUGUUAGUUGAUGAUCUCCAUUUGUGGAGAUGACUAAAUUCGCGGUCAAAUAGAGUGAUAUACCGAAUUAUAUAACAUAUUGCAAAUGGACCUUUAAACAAAUGGUCAUAUGCAACAUUAAAGAGAAGUUUGACAAGCUCAUAAUAUUCCAAUUUUAAUAAAUUGGCUUGUUAUUUUGCUAUCAUUGAAAGGGCCAAGACACUAUUUGUUGGAGAAACGGGAGGGCAAGAUUACACUCAAUCUUGGCCUUUCCUGAAGUUAAAGGGCAGGGCAUGGUCCGGGGGCUGAACAAAGCAUUGAUGGAUAACUUGCGACUGCUUGCAUUGACGAUGUUUGUGAGCUCCAGGUCCUUUUUCGACGUUGCUUGCGAGAUGGAUGACGACUGCUUCAAUUUUGACCCAUGGUACCAAAGAGUCGAAAUGCGCUGAGUGGGAGGUUUUUUUUUUUUUUUUUUCUGGAAUAAGUUAAGGAUUUUUGUUUGAGACUUAGAUUGGAUUUUGACCGAUGGUAAAAAUAAUGGAAAAAAAUAUCAUCUCUAUUUUGUAAAUGAUCGUACUAGACACAAUCGCUAGUUUGGAUUAACCGGUCCCUACAACUACAGAAAGCGAAUGCCAACUAUAGAGCGAUAAGAAUAUUAUGGUUGCCCUAUCAACAUCAACCUAUGGAUGGACAUGCUCCUUAUCGAAAGAGGUAAGUUUUCUUUUAGAAGCCAGAAUGAGUUCACUCUUGAUCAUAACAAGUGUUUACUUGAUCCUAAGAAUGAUGCAGUUGGCCUCUAAGGACCGCGCACUUGACCUAAACGAGAGCAUGGAUCAUGACGAGAAGCAUGCACUUCCCUCAUGCACAUCACCCUACAGAGCAUGCACCUUAUCCAUAAUAGGACUGCGUUUUAACAGGGGCCUCGUAAUUUCUCCAUAAACAAUGAUCUUUUACAUCCUGCCCUUUUUUUUUUUUCUGGGUCAGAUUGACACCAUGUCCUUAACUGGUUCAUGAAAUGGCGGCCAGACAACAACACGAAGUACUGUGCCACGGAGAGGGAAGAAGUACAAGAUGACAAGAUUGAAGGUACAUAAAUAUUAGUACAAAAAGCAAUUUAUCGAAUACCCUGUCAAUGAAGGAUAUUUCAAUGACACUAUCGAACCGAGACAAUUCGUGAUUCAUCAGUUGCGCGAAAACCAACGAGGAGAACUUUUCUAAAUUCCACAAGGAGCCUCACCACCUAUUAUUUCUAAGCAAUGACACUAUUGAACCGAGACAAUUCGUGGCCCGUCAGUUGCGCAAAGACCAACAAGGAGAACUUUUCUAAAUUCCACAAGGAGCCUCACCACCUAUUAUUUCCAAGCAAUGACAUUGUCGAACCAAGACAAUUCGUGGCCCAUCAGUUGCGCGAACACCAACGAGGAGAACUUUUCUAAAUUCCACAAGGGGCCUCACCACCUAUUAUUUCCAAGCAAUGACACUGUCGAACCGAGACAAUUCGUAGUCCAUCAGUUGCGCGAAGACCAACAAAGGAGAACCCUUCUAAAUUCCACAAGGAGCUCACACCUAUUAUAUCCACUCAUUUCGUCUUAACCACCACCUAUUUAUUAUCCACUCGUUUGUCCUUAACUAGUAGAAUCUCGCAUGCGUGGCACAUGUUAACACAAUACAUAUCUAUAACGACGUACAUAAAUCAAAUUUGAAUUAAAAAGAUUCGAGAUUCUUUAUUUGACUUCUAAGUGUCAUUAAGUAAGGGAUAUUUCCGCAAUUUUCAAGAGAAUUAUAAAAAAAGAAGAAGCAAAGUGACAAUUUCUCUUAUAAAUCAUACAUAAUGAGACAAUUCAUUAUUUAUAAAAUCUUUUGAAAAAUCUUUGAAUUUUCUUCAACAUGAAAUUAAAAAACACUCAUGUGAGAAAAGGAUAACAAUAACAUACAAACUAAAAUAAAAUAGCAAAGAAAUUGAAAAGUAUAAUAUAUGGAGAAAGAGAGGGAGUAAUUAAUAAAUUAUUUGUGCAAAAGGGCAAUGAAAAUAGAGAAGUAAUAUAUUGGCAUCUUCGGGUGGUUAAUAAAUGUUUUGGAGAUGAGUGAGUGAAUAUUAAAAAACGUUUAGAGAGUUUAGGGUUGGCAUAUUACUACGACGAUCUGGAAUCGUUCUCUCUGAAAUAUGAUAACUAAUGAAACUCCCUAAAAAAAGAAAAAACUUAGGUUAUUUUGUUAUUACGCCAUGCUACGAUUGUACGAAGUAGACAUUAAUAUUAACAUGAAAUUGUCAUAUCAAACAAACUUAGACACGUUCCUUGAUCAAUUGUUAUAAUUUUUUUUAUGAUUCAAAUAUCCAUCAAACUUCUCUCAUAAAGGCUUUCUUGAUGACAAUAGAAGGGCUUCGUUAUGUCCCUAAACCAUCAUUUCUCACAAAAACUUGUCUCGAAAAGUGCAAUCGAGUCCUAAAACUUUCCAAAAGUGCAAUUAAUGGAAGGACUUAGAUUGAACCACUUUGAUUAGUUUUAGGACUUGAUUGCACUUUUUUUUUAAAUUGUAGGAGUUAAUUGCACUUUGUGACAAGUUUUAGGAUUUAAUUGUAUUUUUUGAAAGUUUUAGGACUAAAUUGUAUUUUUAUGACAAAUUUUAGGAUUUUUAAUACACUUAUUUCUAUAUUUAUGUAUAGAGUCCUGAAAUCUGUACGAAUUGUCUUGCAAAUAACAGUAACAAAUAUUCUCGAAAAAGCAACCUCUUAAUUCGGUAAUAAAAAUGGUUUUAAUCGAUGGUAAAACAUACCCCAUGUAAUCCAAAAUCAAGUCAUCGUGUACGUAUAAAUAUUGUAGCCCCGGAAUGGAAGCUUUUUAUUUAUUUAUGCUGAUUGUGCACAUAAUAGAAAGAAUAAUGAUGAGGUGACCGCACCGUUACUCCUUGGAGAGUAACGUUGCUCCCCUAACCACAAGCUUAGAUUAAAAAAAUAAAUUAAAUAAAAUAGAAAAAUCCUAAGGAAUUGAAAAGAGUUUUAUUGAAAGCAUUAUCAACAUGAAAUAUUUUAUAUUUCAUGUAGAAAGACCAGUCCAAACAUUUUUAUUAUAAGACAAAUAAAUUUAGGAUUUCUAUUGACAACAUCACUAUUUAAAACAUUUUUCAUACUUACAGUCGUAAAAAAUUAUAUUCAUCAUUUAACAAAAUUAAAACAAUUACCAAAAUUAGCCCUUGAAUAUUUAUUUAUACAAUUUAAAGCAUUUAUGAAUUCAACUUAAGCCAAACCAAUCCAAGUUAACUCAAAAACCAAAAACAUGAUCAUUUUGUAACUAUCCAAAAUUGAAAUUUAUUUUAAAAUGUAUAGUAUAUUGAAUUUGUUUGAUUAAUUAUUUUGCCUCACUUCCCUUUUUUAUAUUUUGUAUAGCCCAACUUUUUCACCAUGCUAGUCAAAUUUCAAUUUAUCAUAUCUUAACUAAAUAAGUAUAUAUUGUGUCUACAUUCAACUGAUAUAACUAGUAUAAGCACCUAGAGAGGGGUGAAUAGGUGUAAAAAUAAUUUCUCGAGAUAUGAAAGCAAUACUGGACUAACAACAUAAAGGAAGCUUUCCUUUAGUUAACAAAUCGAACUAUGAUCAAAGUAAAACGAAGAGUAAGGAAGAGAAAAUUGAACACAAGGUUUAUAGUGGUUCGGCUUAUUUCAAGCCUACGUCCACUAUUCUGCAUUGACAGCCCACUGGCUGGAUUUCACUAUGAACAAAAGAGAUAUUACAGCACUCAUUUCCCUUGAUUCCACAGUGUAGAUAUUCUAUCACACUUCCUCAAGGUAUCUCAAAGUAUAGACUCUCUUUUGCGUACAAGAUUUCACUCAGCAAAUGAAUUGACUAAGAAUCAAAGAGCUUCAGACUUUGGAAUUCUUCUAUCGUACACCUUUUUGAACAACUGGAACGUCUUUCUCUUAUACUCCUUUAUGUCAUCAUACCCGUUGGCACUUACCAAAUGAAUUCUUCCAAUCCUCCCGUUGGACAUAAUCAAUUAAGAAGAUUAUUCAAGCUAUUAAAGGAGCAUUUCGAUAGCCCAUUUAGCUCAUUCUCAUUCAUCUUGUUCCUGAAAACCCAUUUAGCUCCAAUAAUAUAUUUACCUUUUGGUUUAUGAGUCAACUCCCAGACAUCAUUAAUGCUGAAUUGUAUGAGUUCUUCUUGCAUAGCUUCAAUCCAGCUUUCGUCAGAUAAAGCUUCUCUUUUGGGUUCUAUUUCAGAAAUAAGAGCCACAGCACUAGACUCUUCGCGCCUUUUGGAUCUUGUUUGAAUUCCUUCAUUAAUGUUGCCAAUAAUGAGGUCUUUGGGAUGACUGGACUUAUGCUUCCAGUUACUAGUUGAUUGGUCAGGUUGAUGAUCACUUCCUUCAUUUGAAUCUUCAAUAACCAUUUGUUGCUGGUUUCUUAAAGUCUGAGCUGCUUUUUGAGAUUUAGACUUUGUAAAGUCUGGAGCAGGUUCAGAUUCUUCAAGAUGAGUCUGAGCAGAUUCAUUUUGCAUAGAAUCCUGGAAUUUGACAUUCAUUGAUUCCUCCACAUAUUGACUCUUCUUGUUAUAGACUCUGUAGGCUUUGCUUGAGGAAGAAUAUCCAAGAAAGAUUCAUUCAUCUGAUUUUUCUUCAAACUUACCAACUCUAUCAUUUGCAUUUUUCAAUAUAAAGCAUUUGCAUCCGAACACAUGAAAAUAUGAAACAAUAGGCUUCUUUCCUUUGAAUAUCUCAUAGGGGUUUUUUUUUUUUUUUUCAGAAUAGGCCUUAGAAAAACUCUAUUUAUAAUGUAACAUGCUGUUGAAACUGCUUCAGCACAAAAACAUGAAGAGAUGUUACUUUCAAUUAAAAGAGUUCUAGCCAUUUCUUGAAGUGAUCUGUUCUUUCUUUCCACAACUCCAUUUUGCUCUAGAGUAUAUGGAGAUGAGAACACAUGCUGAAAACCAGAUUCAUCACAGAAUUUUGUAAAAUCAUGAUUUUCAAAUUCACCUCUAUGAUAUGUUCAUAUACUUGAGAUAACAUACUAUUUUUCAUUUUGAAUAUUUUUUUGCAAACUUUUCAAAGUAAGAGAAAGUUUCAGACUUACUUGCCAGGAAAUAUACCCAAGUAAAUCGUGAGUAAUCAUCCACAAUUACUAGGCAAUAUUUCUUACCUCCAAUACUCUAAGUUCUGGUAGGUCCGAAAAGGUCCAUAUGCAGAAGCUGCAGUACACGAUUAGUGGAAACUUGAUUUAUUGGUUUAAAUGAAUUUCUUACAUGCUUUCCCAAUACGCAUGGUGUACAUAGAUCAGACUUUUGGUAUGAUAAUUUAGGUAGACCACGAACAAGCUUCUUUGCUGAAAUUUUGGCUAUUUGCUUCAUAUUGAUAUGCCCAAGCUUUCUGUGCCAUAAGCUUGCUUCAUCUUGAAUUGAGAUUAGACAUUGCGAUUAAUCUGGUUUCACAUCCAAGAGGUAGAUAUUCCCAUGUCUUCGGCCCAUGAAUGACUGAGUAGAGUCUUUACUGAUUCCUGAACAUAUUCCCUCUUGAAAAUUGAUUUUGAAACCAGUGUCACACAGCUGACUGAUACUAAGCAGAUUGUAGUUGAGUCCUUUCACUAGGGAAAUAUUGCUUAUUGUGAGGUUUCCAAUUUUUACAGUUCCAAAUCCCACAAUUCUUCCUUUGCUGUUUCCUCCAAAUGAGACUUUUCUACCAUUUACUUUAACGAGCUUUAUAAAGCAAUUUGAAUCUCCUGUCAUAUGUCUUGCGCAUCCACUAUCCAGAUACCAUUUAACAUUUUUCUUGAUAGUGACCUGCAUUUAAGAAAGAUACUCAAGCUUUUUUUGGUACCCAUAUUUUCUUGGGUCCAUUGAUGUUAGUAUGAUAUGCGGUUUUUGCCCAUACUUUCUUAACAGCUUUCCAAAUCAUAGGACAUUCUUUUUCAAAAUGAUCUGCACUAAUGCACUUUGAACAUCUGAGAGCAUUUCGACCAACUGGUUUUACAAACACUUUUUGAAAAUGAUUUUUGUAAAAUGUCUUUGAAGGUCUUUGCUUAAUUAUUUCCUUCACUUUAGGAAAAUCAAUUAAAGGAAUGGUUUCUGCUAUCAUUCCUAAACCAGAGUUAUUGAAAUAAGGUCUUUAUGCUGAAAGAAUUUUUUUCAAGUUUCUCAAAUCCUAUUGAAAAUCUUUUUGAAAUAUUUGAUAAGUCAUUUUUUAAAAAUGCAUUUUCUUUCAAGAGAUUAUCUUCGCUUUCUUUAAGAGAAGAAACAUUCAUAUCUAAACACUUCAACUUUUCUUUCAAAACAUUUUCCUGUUGUUUUAGUGCAGAGUUUUCCUUUUUAAGUUCGGAAAUCCUUUUAAGAGAAGUCUUAAGACUAAAACACAGCUCAUCAAUGUAUUUAGAGACUUUAACAGGAAUUUUAAAGUUACUUACCUCAAAUCCAUUAUCUGAAUCUGAGUCUAUCUCGGAGUUUGAUUCAGAAUCUGAUUGUGCCAUUAGACAUAUAUUGGCAUAAUCAUCAUCACUUUAUUCACAUUCUGUAUCACUCCAGGUUUCUGCUUUAAGAGCCUUUCGAUACUUUUCAACUUUUCAUUUCUUCUUUUUCAGAAGAGGAUAGUUGGGUCUGAUGUGUCCCUUUUUCUUACAUUCAAAGCAUACUACAUCUUUGUUUGAUUAAUCAUCAUCAACAGACUUGGUCUGUUGCUUUUGAAAAUUAUGUUUCUUUGGAUUGAAUCUUAUUCCUUUUAUGUUAAGCUUUCUGAAUCUUCUUAUCAUGAGAACAAGCUCCUCAUCAUUCAUAUCGUCUUCAGAAUCUGUGACAUCAGAAUCAUCAUUGGAUUUUAAUGCAAUGGAUUUCUUACCUUUAGGAUCUUCGUCUUCAUUGAUUCGUUCCACUUCAUAAGACUGAAGAGUUCCAACCAACUCAUCGACAGAUAGUGGCAUGAUUCUUUGUGUCUCUCUUAUUGAGGUCUUUAUGUGAUUCCACUCCUUGGAAAGUCCACGCAAUAAUUUGUUUACCUUCAUGGGAUCAGAAAUUGGUUGACCUUGAUUUUGAAGACCAUUCACAAUUUCUGUAAAACAACUAAACAUGUCAGUUAUAGAUUCUCCUGAUUUCAUUUUGAAGGCUUCAUAUUGACCGAGGAAAAUAUUGAUUCUGGUCUCUUUCACUUGAUCAGUUCCUUCAUAGGUGAUAUGUAAUCUAUCCCAGACUUCUUUUGAUGUAUCACAAGAAGAUAUUCUAUUAUAUUCAGUAGGUGAUAAAGCACAAUAUAAAGAAUAAAUUGCUUUUGCAUCAAGAGUUUGUCUCUUGAUUAUCUCUUCCUGAGUCAUUUCACUUGACUCGACAAUUUUUUUUCCUCUUUCUGUGACAGAUGCAGCUUUAGGAUUGAUUCCUUUUUCUACAACGUCCCAUUCCAGAGGAUCCUUUGAUCGUAGAAAUGCUUUCAUCUUGUUUUUCCAGAUGUUGUAAUUCUUUCCAUCAAAGUAAGGUGGUAUGGUAUUGCUCUGCCCUUCCAUCAGCCCUGGAGCUAGCAUACGAGCCAUGGAUCUUUAACUCUGAAGUAAAACACUUCAAACAAAGUGAGUACACAUGCUCUAAUACCAAUUGAUAUAGCUAGUAUAAGCACCUAGAGGGGGGGUGAAUAUGUGUAAUAAUAAUUUCUCAAAAUAUGAAAGCAAUACUGGACUAACAACAUAAAGGAAGCUUUCCUUUAGUUAACGAAUCGAACUAUGAUCAAAGUAAAGCGAAGAGUAAGGAAGAGAAAAUUGAACACAAGGUUUAUAGUGGUUCGGCUUAUUUCAAGCCUACGUCCACUCUUCUGCACUGACAGCCCACUGGCUGGAUUUCACUAUGAACAAAAGAGAUAUUACAGCACUGCUUUCCCUUGAUUCCACAGUGUAGAUAUUCUAUCACACUUCCUCAAGGUAUCUCAAAGUAUAGACUCUCUUUUGCGUACAAGAUUUCGCUCAGUAAAUGAAUUGACUAAGAAUCAAAGAGCUUCAGACUUUGGAAUUCUUCUAUCGUGCACCUUUUUGAACAACUGGAACGUCUUCCUCUUAUACUCCUUUAUGGCAUCAUACCCGUUGGCACUUACCAAAGGAAUUCUUCCAAUCCUCCCGUUGGACAAAAUCAAUUAGGAAGAUUAUUCAAGCUAUUAAAGGAGCAUUUCGAUAGUCCAUCAAUCCUGCUCAUCCAUACAAUCAGGAUCUUGAUUUCCAUAAGUAGAACAUUCCAAGAAUACUUCGCCAAUCAUCGGAUCCUUAAUCAAUCUUAAUUCGAAUAAAGGAAUCCGUUAUGUCACAUCCAGCCAAGAGCUAUUCUCCAGUCGAUAAGGCCAAAUCCUUAAUGAAGUAGAUAUGGAUAGUCUGUCUUCAACGGAUUAGAAACUGUCAGUGAGAAUAGACUUUGAGUCUUGAGUUUGGUAGAUCCGGAGGUCUUCAGACUUUAAUAGAAGAGUCUGCAAAACUUCAGACUAGACUGAUAGAAACGUUUUGUCAGCUUCAAAAUAUUCCAGAAAGAUUUCUCCAACAUCAACAACACAACAAGACUGAUUGUAGUGUACAAAAUUUUUCACUUAUUCUAUAAUGUCUUGGAAUGUAAUUAAAUUAGUGAAAUACACGUGUGGAUUACUAAGAUGACUUUCUUUAUGUCAAUAUAUUGUUGCAGGUACACUAUGAAGGAUUGAGUUUUACAUUUAAAUAGUUAAUCAAAGCUGUUAAAAAAAGUUCACAGGCAUAAGUAUAUUUCCCUUUCGUUAAUUUUUAUUGAAUUGUCCAAAUUCUAAGAAAAUUUUGUUCAGAUUUUCUCUGAAAUUUAUGUGGUUGAAAAGGCAGCGUUAUUGCCGUCAGCCCAGCAAGGUCCUAAUAGAAAUUGUAGCUCAAAGAGUAUAUAUUCCGUAUGUAGAUUUGGCAUUCAUUUUACUAAAAAAAGUAAUACAGGAUAAAAUUAUGCAAUAUUAAUGAACGAAAUAAUUUAAAGAAAUCUCUCCACUCUACAUAAAAACAUCUCCAUGCACCAUUGUAGAGGAUAAAAAGGUUGUCUCUUUCAUCCACUUUGUCUCUUUAUGCAAAUCAUCUCUACUUCCUCAACUCUUAUAAUAGCUCGAUGGGCAAAAAUUCAUUUAUAUAUGGGAUGAGGAAAAGCAAAACAGAUUUGAAUGCAAAAAAAAAGAUGAAGGAGGGAGAGCCUCGAAGAGCAAUCAAUGGAGAAAGAAACACCAGGAACUUUUUACAGGAAUAUGUAAUUAUCAACGGCUGAGAUUUAAUACCAUUCAUCCAACAAUUUAGAACCUUAAUAAAGACCCAAACAUGAGAAAGAAAGAGGAGAGAGGUAUGGACCAUGGAACUCUGUAGCCUAACCUUUGUUAAUGCCUUAACUAAAAGUCUGAAAGUGAAUGUUAGAAUAGGAUUAGAGUAGGACCGAGCGAAAAAAAAAACACUAAUCUAUUUCUUGGUAAUUGGUAGCGGACUGCUCUAAAUCAUCUCUAGUCAAAACUAAAUAUUAAAAUCCGACCAAAGAAAAAACUAUUAAAGAAAGACUAUUGCUGAUUAACUCAAUCAAGACAAGUAUAUAUACGGAGAUGGAUGAUGAGGUUUUAGUCUUAAACCCGCUUCUUGUCUGCCAUUAUUAGGAGAAAGAAUGGAAAGAACAACAAUAGAGGUGGAUGGGCAUUACGUAACAGUUAUGCACACUAUAACGCUAGGAUAUGUAAGUAUAUAUUAAAUUCCACCUAUUUGAACGGCAGAUGGGCAUAUUGAAGUUAGGCUGCUCCUCUUUAACUGGGAUAAAACAAUAAACAUGUAUAUUUUUUGACCAAGGAAGCUUUGCUAUGAUAUAAUCUAUGAUAUAAUCAUUGUUGCUUGGUAAAAAGGGGCAAAAAAAAAAUAAAAAAUUGAAGCUUGAACGUUUGCAAUUUAAUUCGAUCUAUAAUUACCCGAUUCUCUUUUCCAUCUACUAUAAUCUGAUUAUAUAUUCUUGGGAGAGCAUAUCUAGGUGAUGACGACAGAAUUGAAGAGAAACUAACAAAUUUUUUUAAAUUAUUAUUAUCAUCAUUUAAAAAUAAUUUUUUAUAGUGUUUUUGGACACUUAUUGAGCAAUAUGGGCCCACUUUUUUACCUUCUGAACCUUUGGCGUCUUUAAUAAUUCCAAGACUUUGGUCCCAUUUCCGACCAACUUGCUUCAGAGAAAUUGAGGCAACAAAAAUGAAAUUAAAUCAAAAGGGACAUGAUGAAAUGCAACGGCAGCUUCUUCCGAGAAAGAAAGAGCCCUUUAGUGCUUAAAAGUCUUUUGAUUCGCUCCAUCAUUUGAUGCUGUUGUCCUGGCCGGAGUAACUUCGGUUCCCUCUCCGCUCUGCACACUUUAUUUCAACCCUUCUGGGCACUCUUGUUUAGUCCUCUACCGCUCACGAAUCAAGCCAUGCCCAUCACAGAGCUCUUUCUUGGCGCCUUUCUUCAGGUGUUGUUCAAUAGGUUGGCCUCUCCGGAGCUCCUCAACUUUGCACAGUGUGGGGGGAUUGAUAUGCGGUUGAAGAAAUGGGAGAAGAUGCUGGAGAGUAUCAAGGAGGUGCUGGAUGAUGCAGAGGAUAGGCAACUCACCGGCCAUCUCGGGGUGAAGUCGUGGCUAGAAGAUCUUAAAAACUUGGCCUAUGACAUCGAAGACUUGCUUGAUGAGUUCGUCACAGAAUCCACUGAAAGCAAGUCCAAGGCAGAAUCCAACACUAGCAAGGCGUGUUCCCUUCUUUCCAAUUGUUGCUUUAGAUUGAGUCCAAGAGAAUUUAUGCUCGACCACAAAAUGAGAUCUAAGAUAGAAGAGAUGGAUGCCAAAUUACUGGAGAUCAUAACUCGAAAAGACAGUCUGAGCUUGAGAGAGAAUAACGAGAAGCAAUCAACAAAUCGUUUACAGGAUAAGCCAAUUCCAACUACACAUUUGACUGAGGGUUGUUUUGUUGGUAGGGAAGAAAAAAAAAUGGAGAUUCUCAAAUUACUAACCGAAGAAAAAGAUGAUAGAAUAACUACGAACAUAAAAGUGAUUCCCAUCGUAGGGAUGCCGGGUCUUGGGAAGACAGCUUUGGCUCAGCAAGUCUUCAAUGAUGCUAGAGUGACCGGUUACUUUGAUGCAAAAGCAUGGGCUUGUGUUUCUGAUGAUUUCGAUGUGCUUGCUAUUACGAAGAGUAUCCUACAAAAAAUCGACUGCACUUUGUCUAGUGAAGAUAAGGACCUAGAUUGGCUUCAGGAUAAGCUCAAACAAAACCUUUCAGGGAAGAAGUUUCUUAUCGUUUUGGACGAUGUUUGGAACGAGAAUUAUGGAAACUGGACUAUCCUCUUGAAGCCUUUUCAAUCGGGAGCCAAGGGAAGCAAAAUCAUCGUCACGACCCGUAAUUCCCAUGUUGCUGAAAUAGCCGGUGCUCGACCUUAUACUCUUAGAGAGUUGUCACGAGAAGCUUGCAUGACUCUACUUGCAUUUCAUGCUCUUGGAGUCAAAAAUUUUGAUCAUCAUCCUUAUCUUGAAGCAUUAGGUCUCAAAAUAGUGGAAAAAUGCAAAGGGUUGCCACUAGCUGUAAAGACAUUAGCUGGGCUACUACGCACUAAAGUUGGUCCCCUUGAAUGGCAAGCUGUAUUGAACAGCAAGAUUUGGGAUCUACUGAAAGAAAGAAAUGACAUCCUUCCAGCUUUGAAACUUAGCUACCUCCAUCUCCCUUCCAAUCUGAGGAGAUGCUUUGCUUACUGUGCUAUAUUUCCCGAGGACUAUGAAAUACAACGGGACGAAUUGAUUCAUUGGUGGAUUGCAGAGGGCUUGGUGGACAAAAAAGAAGCAAAGAGUCAAUGGAAUACAGGUUUGAAUUAUUUCAACGAGCUAGUAAACAGGUCGUUAUUACAAAAGUCAAAUAGCAAUGGAUCACAAUUCUUAAUGCAUGAUCUUGUGAAUGACCUGGCAAAACUAGUUGCAGGUGCAUCCCAUUAUAGUUCAGGGGAAUUUGAGUUUGUGGAUGAUCACAAUAAUGCGUCUUUAGCUCGUCACGCCUCAUUCCUUCCAAGAGAGUAUAUUAUGCCAGAAAGACUCAAGAUAUAUCAUCAAAUGCAAGGACUUAGGAGCUUCAUAUCGUUAGGGAAUCAAUGUCAAUUUUCCUUUGUGACCCAGAAAGUGCUAUAUGACUUGUUGUUGAGAUUGAAGUACUUAAGGGUGCUUUCAUUGAGUCACUAUUACAUCAACGAGGUACCAGAAUGCAUUGGCAAACUAAGGCACCUAAGGCACCUUAAUCUAUCACGUACUAGUAUUGAAACCCUUCCAAAGUCGAUUGUUGCAUUGCACAACCUAGAAGCUUUGAUGUUGCAAGACUGUUACAUGCUUAUCAAAUUACCUGAAGGUAUGGAAAAACUUAUCAAUCUAAGAUUUCUUGACAUUACCAAUACUUCAAGUCUAAGAGUAAUGCCACUAAAUAUAGGUAAUUUAUUGGGUCUUGAGAUCUUGUCCAAGUUUAUAGUUGGAACGGAAAAUGGGUCAAGGUUGAAUGAGUUAAAAAACCUAAAGAACCUUCAAGAGGAAUUGUGCAUCUCUGAUUUGCAUAAAGUUCAAGAAGCUAGAGAAGCCAAAGAUGCCAAUUUACUCAUGAAGGAGGGAAUAUGCCGGUUGAACAUGCAAUGGUGCACAAAUUUUGAAAAUUUCCGGAAUGAAGAGCUUGAAACAAAGGUCCUUGACUUUCUUUGCCCUCACCAAAACCUUGCACAUCUUAAAAUAUCCUACUAUGGCGGCCUAAAAUUCCCAUCUUGGUUAGGUAGUCCGACACAUGUUAACAUAAUGCAUUUACAUUUAUAUGGGUGUCAAAGGGUCAAAGAAUUACCAUCGCUUGGGCAGCUAUCUUCGUUGAAAGAAUUGUACAUCAAAGGUUUAAAUGCAAUAUGCAUGGUAGGGUCUGAAUUUUAUGGAAGUAAAAGUCCUUUUCCAUCCUUGUUGACUUUGGAAUUCAAGGGCAUGCCAUUGUGGGAGGACUGGUCUCAUUGCAUCAACACUGAAGAAGUUGGAGUUGUAUUCCCUCGUCUUGAGCAUCUCGUCAUUCAGGAUUGCCCUAUGCUAAUCGGAAGAUUGCCUAGUCAACUAAGCUCCCUUGUAAAGCUUGAAAUUAACUCAUGUCCACGUGUGGAAGCCUCGCCAUCUUUCAAUGGCCUUUCAUCUCUCAGUGAAUUAAAAUUCGAAAGUUGUAAUGAGAGGGUGCUGCAUAGUUUGGUAAACCUGGCGUCUCUUACUACUCUAAAGAUAAAUGAUGUUGCUGAACUCAUGUGCUUAAAUCAUGGGUUUACAAGCUCCUUGAUCAAGCUAGAGAAGUUGGAGAUCGAAAGGUGUACAGAGUUAAUAUAUUUGUGGCGAGAUGGAGAUGUAAUUCAGAAUCUCAAUUGUCUAAAGAGAUUAGUCAUAUGUAGUUGUCCAGAAUUCAUAUAUUUUGUGGCUAAAGAAGGAGAUAUAGAGCUGCCUAGCAACCUUGAGACUAUCAAAUUGGAAAAUUGCAUCAAUUUAGAGAAGCUCCCAAGCAAGAUGUACACCAUCUCCUCUCUUAAAGACUUGACAGUUAGUGGCUGUCCAAAACUCGUGUCCUUCCUUGAAAUAGGUAUACCGACAUCUCUAAUAUCAUUAAAUAUCGAGAACUGUGAGAUGUUGCAAUCUUUACCCAGAGAAUUAAGUGCUCAUCUAGAUGAACCAAGCAGCAGUAGUAGCAAUACCCGCAGUGACAUUAUAUCUUGUCUACAAGACUUAAGCAUCUCCGGAUGCAAUUCUUUGCCAUCCUCUCCAUUCAGCGAGGGUAUAGUUUUACCCACGACCCUCAAGAGGCUUGACAUUUGUCACUGCAGUGGAGUGGAGUCGCUUGCGGAGAUAAAACUAGACCCUCUUCAGUUUAUUCAAGAGAUUAGAAUUUGGGGUUUGGAGAAUUUGAGAAGCUUACCCCAGGGUCUACACACGCUGUCUCGGCUCACUUCCUUGAGAUUGAGUGGCUGUCCUGUUUUGGAGAUGGAGUGCUUCCCUCCUCUUCCUCUCGGAAUCUCUACGUUUGAGCUUGGGAAUUGUCCGAAGAUAAAAUCGUUACCUAAUCAGUUGCAUCAACUCUCGAGUCUUCGACAUCUAUCAAUUUGGGGGUGUGAGAGAUUGACGCGCUUCCCCGAGGGAGGAUUGCCGCCCCAGCUAGAGAGACUUUGGGUAAUUCGAUGCAAGAAUAUGAAACAGCCGGUGAGGGAGUGGAUUACCCCCCUUACCUCCCUUCGAAAUAUGACAAUCGACAGCAGCGUGGGAGGAGUGGGAGAGGAGGAGGAUCUUGUGCUUCCGCUCCCUUCCUCUCUGCUCAAGCUCUCUAUCUUACGUAUGGGGAAAGUGGAAAAACUAUCCAAUAGUCUCCCUCCCUCUCUCCGGUUCUUGGAGAUCUCCAAUUGCCCAAAGCUGAGGGAAUUACCCCAGGAUGGCCUCCCUCCCUCCCUAGAAGAACUCCUUAUUUGGAAUUGCCCAAUUCUGAAGGAGCGAUGCAGGAAAGGGACUGGCUGCUAUUGGCCCCUCAUCCGCGAAAUCCCAUAUAUUCAAAUACCGUGAACCCUAGCUCUUUCAUCAUCUGUGUCCUUCCCCCGUUGUGGUGUGCACCUCAAUCGCCACCGCUGCUUCGACUCUCCACUCCGUCGUCGUCCUCACCUCCAUCUCCAUCUCCAUCUCCAUCUCAUGAAUAUAUUUCAAUUAAAACAGGUAAUCGAUCUUUCCGAUCACUACUCUUCAAUACUCGUAGUCACUUCUCUUUCUCAGAUUUGGCAUCACUUUUCCUCCGAUUCUUUCGUUCUCGGUGUGCUCCGCCUCAUUCUCCAAGAUUCUUUCAAUCUUGCUGGCCUUUCAGAUUACAUUGGAAUUCCCAUCGGUGAAGUUCCCCGGUACUAAGACUAGGAGGAGAAGAUGCUGCUGAAGGGGGGACCCCUGAUGUGAGAUUGCUCCUCAUUGUAGAGACGAAGAGGGGAGAUGCCACUGCAGGCUCUGCUAUUCUUAACACCUUUGACCUUUUUGUGGAAACUCUUUCCCAUGAUUAGAGUUGGCUCUCAAAUUACUCACGGGGGAUAGAGGUAUGUAUAUCUGUUCUCUUUCCCUAUUCAUCGAGUGUCUAUUUUCCUCCUCAUGUUUCAAUCCGCUAGACGAAUCUAUAGUCUGGACAUAAUUUAUAUGAUAAAUAGAUAGCAAGGACAAGUUUGAAAAUGUUUGAAGUUGCAUCACAUUGACAAAGAGUGGUUCAGAACUUCAGAUGGAUAGAGAAACUUCAUGUCAUCUUAAUGGCAGUUUAGGGCGCGUUUGGUUGUGUUUCUGUUUAAAAAUUGUUCCAGGGAACAGAAAUAGAAAAAAGUAUUUCUGUUCCGGGGAACAAUUUUUGAACAAAAAUACGCGUUUGGUAAACUUGUUCCGAGAAUAAAAAAUAAACAGAAACAUGUUUGGUAAAUUUAGAUAAUCUUUUUAUUUCUUUUAUUUUUUCUAUUUUUUUUCUUUUUUUUCCUUUUUUUUCUUUUUUCUUUUUCAUUUUUUUUUUCUUCUUUUGGCCGGUCGCCGGCCGUGGCCGAGGCCGGCGACCCGGCCUUCGGCCAUGAAAGAAGAACAAGAAAAUAAAAGAAAAAAGAAAAAAAAAAGUGUUUCUGAUUUGUGUUCCAGAAACAAGAAACACGAAUUUUGUGUUUCUUGUUUCUGUUUCUUUUUUGUUCCUGGGAACAAAAGAACAAAAAAGGAACAGAAACGCACCCAAACGCGUUUCUGUUCUUUUUUUGUUCCCAGGAACAAAAAAACAGAAAAACUGUUUAAAAACAAAAAAAAGAAGUGCAAACAAACGGGGCCUUAGGUGCUUUAAAUCCUCUUUCCUGUUUUAGGUUGGAGACUCAAUUUGAACACAUUUACUGAGUUUGUGGAAUGUGCCUGACUAAUUUCCCUUAUAUCUCUUACUCUGAUAUGCGAAAAUUACUUUUAUAGCAUUCACCAGAAGUUGGAGGAACUCAGUAUUAACUCUCUGUCUGCAUUUACCAAUACAAAGUACUUAUUCCCACACAUGCAAUUCUCUCAUUUCUGAGCAUACUGUGAUGCACAUUGGAAUCUAUGGGGGAAACGGAUUUAUUGCACCUCAACCCUUCCAUCCAGCAUUUUACUCACCAUCCAAGAUUAGCCCUGGACUCUGUAGUGGCUAGUUGGCAAAGUUUAAAGGUGAGUAGAUUUGUUUCUGCUAUUUCUUUUUACUGGCUGUUUAAAAGCUGCUUAAAAGGUGGGUAAUAAUCAUGGGGCAUAAUCAGAACCUAAAAAGAAUUUCUUCUAAACGAUUUAAGUAUAUUGUCCGCAUAUCCAACAACUUGUCCGCACUUGUUCAUUUCUAGCAUUUUAUCAAAACGCAUAUCAAUGAUUCAAAACUUCUCGUGUUACAUGUUGUUUGUUAUCAUUCCCGGUUAUCCCAUUGACGUGAUUACGUCCACAUUCUGUUAUGUGUAAGGGAUUGGUUCUACGCAAGGGGAAUGUUAAGUUAUACUUUUUAUAUACAUUGCUUGGCAAGUUUUCUAAUAGAUUAAGCUUUUAAAAAAUGUAUUUGUCUAACAUGCAGCAAUCGAAUCAAACAACAUGACCAACAGCCAACCUAUGUUCUUGUCUGGUUUUUACUUCUAGUAAUUGUGGAAGACUUUCGGACAGGGAUUAUAAGCUUCUCAAAAAAUCAUCGAAUUACAACAAGAUUUAAAGCUUGCACUCAUAUGCCAACAAACUUCAACUUAUUAAAUCUGUUAUUCAUAGUGCGGUUAAGUAUUAGUGUCAACUCUUUUUGUUGCCCAAGAAAGAUUUUGAAAUGGUUGGCGAAAGUGUAGAGCUUUUCUUCAGAAGGGAGAUCCUUAUACUAAAGAGGGAGCAAAAGUCAGAUGGGACACUGUCUGUCCUCCUAAGAAGUUUCAAGGCCUUGGCAUUCAAAGACUGGAUUUGUGAAAUCUUGCUUGUAUUUUAAAGUGUCUGUAGAGUAUUUUAUUGAGGUGUGGUCUCUAUGUUUUUCUUGGCUCUAUAGCUAUUAUCUUGAUUGCAAACUAGAUGCUACUUAUGCUUUGAAGAAGUCAUUAAGAGUCGAGAAUAUUUUGAAGCCCCACAUUAGAUAUAUAGUCGGUAAUGGAGAUAAUAUUUCUCUUAAUUUGAUUUGUGACACCAUACUGGGAUCUCGUAGGAAUCAUUUCUCAAGGAGAAUAAUUUAUGAAUCUUCUCUUCCUCCGUAGGCCAAAGUAUCUGCUAUAAUUUAUAACUCAUUGGAAACAUUACGUUACUUUAAAAAGGGUGUUUUUAAUUUUUGCAGUAGCGAUUGGGCAAAACUAGGGGCUGUGAAAAAUGCCCCUUCCAUCAUCGUCUUCUUCUCCUUUGUUGUCUGCACCUAAGUCACCUAUGCUUCAUCUCUCUGCUGUCUCCAUCUCAUGAAGAUGUCAUUAAAAUCCAGUAUCAAUCUUGCCAUUUACUAUGCCUACUCUACUCUUCUACUCGUAGUUACUUCUCUUCUCAGAUUUGGCAUUGGUUCCCCUAUCCAUUGAAACACUUCGCAUAAUCUCUUCGAUCUAGCAAAAAUGAAAUAAAAACCUGUAAUGUUAUUAAUGGACUGUUGCAUUUAAAUUUGGAUUCUCAACUUAUUUCUGCAUUCUAUCAGUUUUCUGCACUCAUCCACUUCUUUUGUCAUCACUGUGCUCUGUCUCAUUUUCCAAGAUUCUCUAAAUCUUGCUUGCCUUUCAGAUUACAUUGGAAUUCCAUUGGUGAAGUUUGUUGGUACAACCCAGCAACCUAAAGAAAGGUCUAUAGACCCUUCCUUCACCAUCGCCUCACUGGUAUUAAGCCUAGGAGGAGAAAAUGCUGAAGGGGACCCUGGAUGUGAGAUUGCUCCUCAUUGUAGAGACAAAGGGAAAUGCCACUGCGGGCUCUGUUCUUAAGAUCUUGACUUUUGUGGAAACUUUUCCAUGAUUAGUUGGUUCUCAUAUUACUCAUGGAGAUAGGUAUGUGUAUAUGUUUCCUUUCCCCAUUCAGUAAGUGUAUGUUUGGCCCUGAUGUUAGAUGAAUCUAAAGUUUGGACAUAAUUUAUUUGGUAAGUUAAUAGCAAAGACAAGUUUAAAAAUGUUUGAAAGUUGCAUCUCCUUGAAAAAGUGUAGCUCAGAACUUCGGAUGCAUAGAGCAAGUUUGUGUCAUUUUAAUGGCAGUUAGGUGCUUUAAAUCUUCUUUCCUGUUUUAGUCUGAAAGCUCCAUUUGAACACAUUUACUAAGUUGUGGAAUGUACCUAAGUAGUUUCCCUUAUAUCUCUGAACUUGAUAUGCGGAAAUUACUUUUGCAGCAUUCACCAGAAGUGGAAGCAACUUGGUAUUAACUUUGUGUCUGCAUUUACCGAUACAAAGUACUUAUUCCCACACAUGCAAUCUUCUCAUUUCUGAGCAUACUGUGGUGCACGUCGAAAUCUAUGGGGGACUGAUUUAUUCCGCCUCAACCCUUCCAUUCCAGCAUUUUACACAGCAUCCGAGAUUAAGGAGUGGUUUAGUCGGUUUGAGUAUAGACACAAGUGAAGACAUUUUGUGUCCUGGAUAGCACUCAAUGAUAUCUUUGUCCAUUGUUCAUUCUGAUAACUAUUUAUGUUAUGCUUCAUGGAAUCAGAGAUGCAAGCCUUGCAAUCGCAGGUUGGCAAAGUUUAGAGGGUGGGUAUAUUUGUUUCUACUAUUUCUUUUCACAGGCUGUUUGAAAGACAUGGCUAAUGAUCAUGGGGUAUAAUCAGAAUCUGGAAAGAAUCUCUUCUGAAGGAUUAGCAAAUUGUCUGCAUUCUACUUGUUCAUUUCUAGCAUUGUAUCAAAGCAUGUCAAUGGUUUAAAAUUUCUCAUCUUUUAUGUUUUUUGUUAUCAUCCCCAGCUAUCUCAUUGACAUGAUUAUGUCCACAUUCUGUUGUGUGUCUUAAGGGAUCGGUUCUACGCAAGGGGACUGUUGAGUUAUACAUUAUAUGUACAUUUUUUUGGUCAAAUGCGUUAUAUACAUAUUGCUUAGCACCUUGCUUAACAGCUUACGGUGUUUUUAAAAAGGAAUUUGUCUAACAUGUGGCAAUCAAAUCAAACAGCUUGGCCAAUCAUAUGUUCUUGUUUGGUUCUUUCUUCUUGUAAUUGUGGAUUGUUUGGAAGACUUUCAGACAAGGAUUGUAAGCCUCUAUAAAAUUAUUGAAUUACAAAGAGAUAUUAAGCUUGGACAGUUAAAAGCCGCUCAUAUGCCGGCGAACUUCAGCUUAUUGUUUCUGUCUUUCAUAGUCUAUUUGUGUCCACUCUUUUUGUUUCCCCAGAAAGUUUUUGAAAUGGUUGAGCAAAAGUGUAGAGCUUUCCUUUGGAAUGGAGAUCCUUAUGCCAAAGAGGGAGCAAAGCUAGAUGGAACACUGUCUGUCCUAAGCAGCUUGGAGGACUUGGCAUUUGAAGAUCGGAUUUGUGAAAUCCUUUUGUAUUUUAAAUUGUCUGUGUAGUAUUUUGUUGAGUUGUGGUCUUAUGUGGUCUUAAGUGUUUUGCCUGGCUCUAUAGCUAUCAUCUUGACUGUAAACCAGAUGCUACUUAUGCUUGAAAGAAUUUAUUAAAAGUCAGGAACAUUUUGAAAUCCCACAUUAUACAAAUAGUGGAUAAUGGAGAUAAUAUUUCUCUUUGGUAUGAAUUCUGGCACCAUGCCGGAAUCAUUCUCGAGGAGAAUGAUUUAUGAAUCUUCUCCUCUUCUCUGCGGGUCAAAGGAUUGGCUGCAAUACAUAACUCUCAUUGGAAAUGCCUGCUGCUAGGUCUGAAGAGUUGGUUCCCAUACAAGCUGCAAUUUGUGGUGUGUUUUUCCUAGUUCCUAGCUGCAAAUAAAGUUGUUUUUUGCACAGCUUGUUCAAAUAGUUGCCUUUAACUUUUUUGUUGCAUGGGAAAUUGUCAGAAGCAAGGAUGCUGAUGUUGGCUGGGACAAACUUGGGUGGUUCUUCCCUAAUGUGCCCAGAUUUGGCUUCUUUUUUUUUGUUUGGGUUAGUAAUAUAUGAUAAACUUCCCGCUGUUAAGAGGAUUUGCAGUUGGUCUGUUGGGAGUACUAGAUCUCUCUCUCUCUCUCUUUCUGUGAUCUACACAUUGAAUAUUGCUCUCAUCUGUUUAUUGAGUGUCGCUUCUCCCAAAUCAAUUAUGGAGAAAGGUGCUGCAGCUUUGUUCGAUUCAUCUGACUCCUGGUUUUUACGAUUGUGAAUUCGGUUUAGAUGAAACAAGCUACUCAGGGAAAGAUUUUCAGAAGUGUCUAUCGCAGUUUAUAUGGAAACUACUGCAUUUUAUCUUGAAGUCCAUGUUGCCUUUUCAGGUGCCUCCUUGGAUGUUUAAUGAAAUCAAAAUUAUGAAGUUCUGUUAAGCAUAGUGUUGAGAAUUGCCUUGGUCUCAAAAUAAGAUUGGCACCAAUGAGCAUCAUAGGUUGUGUUGCUUGGAAUCUGACUCUGUAAAAACUAUUAGCUAGACUAAAGAUUUGUCUGACGUGGUGCUUAUUCUUGCUCUUUGGUGUGUAGAAUUGCAUGUUUUGCUGUGUCGUCUAUAUGCUUGUGAUACAGAUGUCAACUUCAACCCACUUGUUUGGGGUCCAAUUCUUUAUGAGGUCCAAUUUCUAUAUCAUUGGCCUUCGCAUUUCUUCAAAUAGUUCUUGAGGAAGGACCCCAGUCCAUGAAAGGGAGUUGCUACAAGAGUAAGAGAGUAAACACUUAUUUAACUGCGAGAUUCGAAGAGAGAUUUUACCACAUUCUACUCUUCUUCUUUUUUUAUCGGUUAAUGGUGAUUUUAUUUAGUUAUGUCGGCAUGAAAUUCAACUUCCGAAAUUCUGCUGUCUCUUGUAGAUAUUCGUCAUUUGGAUCACUUUUGCUCGGAAAUUUUUAAUGGGCACUAACUAUUCCACGGGACAUGAUUGGCACUAAUGUAGACAAAUUUUAAAAAAAUUGGAAAAUUUUUUAGUAAAUUUUCUUUUGUUUUUUUUUUUUUUUUUCCAAUUGUGGCUAAUGAAAGCUUGCGAGCUCUCACCGGGGGCAAUCUAAGUGUGAUUCCAACAAAUAUAACAUAUGAACUCAGCAAAAACACAUCUGAUUCAAUUCAGUUCCAUACAAGAGAUUCUUGUCAUAAUCUAGCAAUAUUCAAGAUCAAAUUUAUGUUGCUAGAACACUGUCUAAACCGAGGUAGAAAUGUACUGAAGUGCAUGGCUCCUAGAUUCAUUCUUAAUGCAAGACAAUAGGACUUAAGGAACGCCUAUACAUCAAGAACCGAUCAACAAACAUCCUUAAACAAUGAAGAAAUAGACGCAAUUGAAUUGCCAAUGAGCUUAUUUCAAUAACAAGAAGGUCUCAGUUGCCAACACAACAGGCAAUUAAACAUUGUAAUGCGCACGAGUUCGUUUCCAACGUUCAGGGGGACAAAGAGAGAACGAUAGUGGGGAGAGGGGGGCCGGUUCCAAUGAGGUGGACCGAGCUCAAUUCAGAUCUUUAUGGGUUUCACCAAGUUGGGCUUAACGGGUUGUAUUAUAACUUGAUGGGCCUAGUGUGGCCUGGGCUGCUCUUGUGGAUCGAUGGGUUGAGGUGAAUUGGGCCAGGUGCUUGACGGACUUGACUUGUGGUCGGACUGAGCUGGGCUGGAACAAGGUGAUCAUACCGGGCUAGAGUGAUGGGCUUUGAUGGACCUGGUGCUUCAUUAUGUUUAUUUUCUAUUCUAUUUUUUUCAUUUUUAUGUUUUCAUUAUUUAUUUAUCUUUAUAUUAUACAUAGUUUUACAAAAAAUGCAUGUUUGACUUGCCAUCGAAAAAUUAAGAUAUUAAUAGCACCGUGACGCAAAUGGACCUUUCCCAAAAUAUUACGAAUAAUCAAAUGAUAUAGUAUGAUAUUUAUCAAUCCAAAUUCAUAGGCUUGACAAGCGUCGAAAUACCAGAGACUUCGGCUCCUAUUGACCCCUCACCUGCGAAAUCGGUCGCAUCGUCUUGGCUUUUUGGGGGGGGGGGGUUUUGAAGCGUUUCCUGCCUUCGUUCGUUCCGUUGCUUUGGGGAUCCGGUUCAUCAGCAAUCGAAGAUCGAUUACGUGAUCGGGGAGCGCGGUCCGGGGAACUCUUGCCUGGAUCGUUCCGGACCUCCUGCUGCACCACCCGCAAUUAUCCGUAUUUCCGGGCUCGCAAGGCGAAGGUAAGGUAAAUAAAGCUACUUCGCGCUUUCCUUAUUUUUAACUCUUACUCGUCGCUUUCCGCGGGGUUCUCUUCUCAUCCACACAAGGUAAUUUCUUUAGUUCAAAAUUAGCCUUCGUCGGGGACGAGUCAGUCAGUAGUCAGCUGCAUUUCCUCGGUUAAACGCGGCUUGUAGAUUGAUCUCAAUAGCCUGAACGAGCGACGGUUUCUCUAAUUUUUGUCCUUAUUUUUUAUAGCUUCCGUUGAAUUCUAUAUUGGAUUAAUUGUUUCUAACCUUGUUCGUAGGACAUGGUGUUUGCUGCAACGUUUCAUGGGGCAUAGUCUAUAAACCCUUCCUUCACCGUCGCCUCGCCGGUAUCAAGUCUAGGAGGAGAAGAUGCUGAAGGGGGGGACUCUGGAUGUGAGAUUGCUCCUCAUUGUAGAGACGAAGGGGAGAUGCCACUGCAGGCUCUGCUGUUCUUAGCAUCUUUGACCUUUUGUGGAAAUUUCUUGCUAUGAUUAGAGUUGGUUAUCAAAUUACUCAUGGGGGAAUAGAGGUGUGUAUAUGUGUUCUCUUUCCCUGUUCAUUAAGUGUCUGUUUUUCCCCUGAUGUUGCAAUCCACUAGAUGUAACAGACAUAAUUAUUUAUAUGAUAAGUUAAUAGCAAAGACAAGUUUGAAAAUGUUUGAAGGUUGCAUCACAUCGAAAAAGUGUAGCUCAGAACUUCAGAUGGAUAGAGCAAGUUCAUGUCAUGAUAAUGGCGGUUAAGAUUCUUUAUAUCCUCUUUCCUGUUUUAGUCUGGAAACUCCAUUUGAACACAUUUACUAGAUUGUGGAAUGUGUACCCGACUAAUCUCCUUUACAUCUCUGAUUCUGAUAUGUGAAAAUUACUUUUGCAGCAUUCACCAGAAGUGGAAGGAACUCGGUACUGACACAAAGUACUUAUCCCCACACACGCAAUCUUCUCAUUUCUGAGCAUACUGUAACGCACAUCGAUAUCUAUGGGGGAAACAAAUUUAUUGCGCCUCAACCCUUCCAUUCCAGCAUUUUACUCACCAUCCAGGAUUAAGGAAUGGUUUAGUCGGUUUGAGUACCGACACAAAUGAAGGCGUUUCGUGUCCCAGAUAGCACUCAAUGAAAUCUUUUCCCAUUGUUCAUUUUGAUUACUAUUCAAAUUCUGCUUCGUGGAAUCAAAGAUGCAUAGACUAAAGUCACUGGUUGGCAAAGUUUAAAGGGUAGGAAAAUUUGUUUAUGCUAUUUCUUUUGUCAGGCUGUUUGAAAGACACUGGUAAUGAUCAUGGGGUAUAAUCAGAAUCUAGAAAGAAUCUUUUCUGAAGGAUUAGCAUAUUGUCUGUGUUCUCACUUUUUUUGUUAAAUUUCCAAUAGAUUGUCCACUUUCUACUUCUUCAUUUCUAACAUUGUACCAAAUCACAUGCAAUGGUCCAAAAUUUCUUGCCUUUUAUGUUGUUUGUUCUCCUGUUCCAUAGUUAUCACAUUGACAUAAUUACGUCCACAUUUUGUCAUAUGGUUGCUAUAACUCUUUCGUUGCUAAGGAAAUUGUCAGAAGCAAGAGUGCUAAUGUUGACGGGCACAAACUUGUGUGGUUCUUCCCUGAUGUGCCAAGAGCUGCCAUUUUUUUGGUCAGUAAUAUGUGAUAAAUUCCCCACUUUGAGAGGAUUUACAGUUGGUGUGUUGGGAGUACUAGAUCUCUCUGAUUGUUCUGUAAUAAAGCAUUGAAUCUUGCUCUCAUCUAUUUUUUGAGUUUAGUUUCUCUAAUCAAGUAUGUAGCAAGGGGCUGCAGCUUUGUUGGAUUCAUAGAACUCCUAGGAUUUGGGAUUACGAAUGUGGUUGGAUAAAACAAGCUGCUUAGGGAAAGAUUUUCAGUAGUGUUCAUUGGAGUUUAUAACCACUGUAUCUGCUAUAUCUUGAGUCCAUGAAUAGUUUGUAUCAUAUACAUGUGGUCCUUCGGAUGUUGGUGUAAUCAAAAUUAUCAAGCUCUUUGUUAUGCAUAGUUUUGAGAGUUGCCUUGGUCUCAAUAUAAGAUUAGCAUUGGUAAGCAUCAUAGGCCGUGUCUUGCUUGGAAUCUAAGUCUCUGAAAACUAUCCAGCUAAAGGAAGGUUUGUUUGGGGUUGUGCUUAUUGUUGUUUUUUGGUGUGUAGAGUUGCAUGUUUUGCCCUAUGUCAUCNNNNNNNNNNNNNNNNNNNNNNNNNNNNNNNNNNNNNNNNNNNNNNNNNNNNNNNNNNNNNNNNNNNNNNNNNNNNNNNNNNNNNNNNNNNNNNNNNNNNNNNNNNNNNNNNNNNNNNNNNNNNNNNNNNNNNNNNNNNNNNNNNNNNNNNNNNNNNNNNNNNNNNNNNNNNNNNNNNNNNNNNNNNNNNNNNNNNNNNNNNNNNNNNNNNNNNNNNNNNNNNNNNNNNNNNNNNNNNNNNNNNNNNNNNNNNNNNNNUACUUCUGAAUUCGACUUUUCGCUGUAAUACUUGGUCAUAAUAUUGUCAUCGUUUAAUGAGAAUUUAUUUGGAAUCAGCGAUGCCGGUAUGUUUGUGCUUACUAUCAUCUAAUAGAAAGCAAGUGUGCCGAUGAAAACCUCCCAAUGACCAGCCAACGUCUUUGACAAGAAAUUCCAACUUCGGAAGCAUUUUGCCAACUAUUUCCAAUCAGAAGUGGGGUUAUUUUGACUGGAAAAAAAAUCGUGGUUAUUAGAACAGCGUGGGUAACACGCCUCCUUUUUGGCUGCUACUUUCGAAAAACGACAAAAGGAGGAGGGGGCAUUACUAAGCCACGCCUCAAUUUUAGCUUGAUUCGUGAGAUGACAAAAAAUCCAAAUUUGUAUUGGCGUGAUACACACAUCAAAGUUUUGUCAAUGAAAAUCAUUAAAAUUUUGUCUCCAAAGAAGUCAGAAAACGAACAAUAUUUAAUAUGACGCCCAUGUGAGUCAAAUGAAGUAAACACAAUAUUAUUUUCACUGAAAAAUUAUUUGACGACACCUUGAUGGAAAGUAAAUAUGUCACAUGCAAGAAAAAAUUAAGGUAAAUGCAUCAUGAUGAUAUAGUUUGGGAUUUUUAAUAUCUUAACAAAAGUUCAUGAUAUAUAUAUUAUAAUGGGCAUAGUUUGAGUUUUUUUAGACUUUUUUUUUCUUAAAUUUUGAAAAAGGACAAUGAGACAUUACCUGUAGUGGAUUGGGGGCACCUCAUAUAAAGCCUUUGAUGCUUAUGGCUUGUCGGGUAAUACUCCCAGAAACAACUAAUUUUAUUUUUUUUCUCCCAUGAGCAAAAAAUAAUAAUAAUAAUAGAAAUUGGUUUGGUAAAUUUUUUAUUCCCAAAAACGAAAAUUCGUUUUUUUUCCCAGGAGUAGAUUUGGAUCAAAAUCAAGAAAUAUUAGAAAAUUUCUUAUUGUUCCCGGGAACAAUUCCUAGAAUCAAGUCUAAUUUCUUUUCUUUUCUUUUCUCUUCUCUUUUCUUCUCUUUUCUUUUCUUUUUCUUCCUUUUGGCUAGUCAUUAGCCUUGGCCAUGGUCGGCGAUGCUGAGCCAUGAUAAGACUUGUCAACCCAAGCCUCAACUAGCCAUGUCGAGGCUUGACCUUGCUAGCUGACAAGAGGCUGAGCCUCACCAAGCCUUCACGAGGCUCGUGGUGGCCAGGUGAGCCUUCAGUGAGCUUGUUUGGCCUCGCCCAACCGAUCAUUGGCCACGGGCAUAGCCGACGACCGGCUAGAAAGAAGGAGGAAGAAGAAGAAAAAAUGAGGGGAAAAAUUAGAAGAAAAGAAAAAUAUAAUAAAAGUAUUAAAAAUUAAAAGAAAAAAAUUAAAAAUCUUAUCAAAUGCAUUUCUAUUUUGGAAUAAAAUUUUUGGAUAACUACCAAACGCUUUAAAAAAUUCAGAAAUUGUUCUCGAAAACAAAAUAAUAAAAAAUCAUUUCCAAGCAAAAAUUAUUUUUAGAAAUAGAAUGGUUACUAAGGGCCUGUUUGUUAAUGUUCUUUAUUUCUGUUCAUGAACAAAAUUCAUGUUUUUUUGUUCCCAGGAACACAUUUGGAACAGAAACAAGAAACAAGAAAAACGUGUUUCUUGUUUCUGGAAAGAUUUUUAAGAACAAAUUUUCUCUCUCCUCUCUUUUUCUUCUCUUUUUUUUUCUUUUUCUUUUUUCUUUGGCCGGUCGCUGGCCUCAGCCAUGGCCGGCGAUCGGCCGUCGAGGGUCGGCGACCUCGCCAGAGCGUCGCCGACGUGGGGCAAGGCUAGGCGAGCUCGAGCUCGCCCAGCCAAGGCGAGGCUGCUGGCCCUCGUCGGCCGGUCGCCGACCAUGGCCGAGGCUGGCAACCAGCCAAAAGAAGAAAAAUAAAAAAGAAAGAAAAAUAAGAAAAAUAAAAUAAAAAUAUUAAAAAAUUAAAAGAAACAAAAAAAAGAACAUAAAUUUACCAAACAUGUUUCUGUUCAUUUUUUAUUCCUGGAACAAGUUUACCAAACACCUUCUUCUGUUCAAAAAUUGUUCCCGGGAGCAGAAAUAGUUUUUUCUAUUUAUGUUCUCUAAAACAAUUUUUGAACAGAAACGUUACCAAACGCGCCCUAAAUAUGCCCUUAAUGUCCAAAUAAAACACUUGAUAGACAUGGGGAGACAUGAAAAAGUGAAGAUGGUUCUAACUUCAAAAAAGUUUAUCUAGUUAAAUGUCGCAUGGCAAUGCAGAAUGUGUUACAUUUUUAAGUGCAAAUGAUUUGUGAUAUUAGUAUCGCAUUCGAAAAACAAAUAGCAAAAGGAGAUACAUACGUUAUUGUCCUUGAAGGACAUGUAGUGGACUAUCGACCUUAUUCAUGUUCAAAAAAAAAAAAAGAGGUGAAUAUGUAAGACAUGAAAAGACCAAAAUGAUCUUAAAAAGUUCAUACAAAAUUUCUUGACAAGAAUAGUAUCAUUGUCAUGAUUAUUGUAAAAUACUCAUUUGGGGCCACAAAUUUUCAAAUGAUCAUUUAAGUAACACAAUUUUUAUGGGGCGACCACCUAAGCCACCUUCCUGAACUCACUAUGUAAACUGCCUUACUUCUAUGGUUGUAUUUGGUUUUCUUAAUAACCUAAUGUUCAAUAGAAUAGCAUUUGAUGGAAGUGAAAAUUUGAAUAUUCUUAUGUUCAAUUUCGUGUUUGAAUGAUGAUGGAUCUUGCUAUGUGCUUUCUAAUGUUUGGAACAUGAUAAUUAUGUUCGUGUCUAGACUACUUGAGCUAUGGAAAAUAUGGAUUAGAGUAUCAAAUUGAUCGGUAGUUACGACGGUGAGUUGAUUUGUCAGAGCAUUAUCAAUGAUAUCAGCUAGCUCUCUCCAUUUAAGAGAUAACUAAGCUAGAUAUUAUUAGAACGGUCAACUAGCAUGAUGCACAAAGGAUACAACAUACUAUACAUGGACCUCUAAACAAUAGGAUCAUAUGCAACAAUUAAAAGAAGUUUGAAACAUCGAGAAAAUUCUCCGAUUUAAUAAAUACUAUUUAUUGGAGAAACGCGACGACCAGGUUACUCUCAAUCCUGGCCUUUCCUGAAGCAUAGUAGAGCAGAGACCAAGGGCUGAGGCCAAAGCGUAGCAUCAAUGGCUAACUUGCGAUCACCUUUUUCAUUGACGAUGCUUGAGAGUUGCGGGCCCUCGUGUGAGGUUGCCGGGAUGAAGGACGGCCUCCGCUUCAGUUUUGUCCUGAGUGACAAAGGGUCAAACGCUCGGAGUUGGGAAUUUUAGUUGGGGACUAAUUAGUGGACUUUGACUGACAGUUAAAGUAAUGGAAAAAAAUCUCGCCUGUUUUCCUACAAAAUGAAGCUUGAGGAUUUGCAAUUUUGAUUCGAUCUACAGCCACUCAUUUUCCCCCCUAAUGUUCCGAUAAUGUAUCCUUGAGAGAGCAACUAUCUGCAGCAACGACAGAAAUGAAGACAAAGUAACAAUUUCUCUGGCCAUCAUUUGAAAAGAUUUUGUUACAAGCAAGUGCUUCAAAACACUUGUUAAGCAAUCAAUUUGGGAGAUUUUGCACUUUCCAAUGCAUUGAGUUCUCAUGUUAUGUGAAAUAAAUACUUAAAAAAUUUAUUUUGAAAUUACAUAUGCUUAGCAAGUACCCCAAGAUGCUUGCUAACAUUGGAAAAAUUUACUCCGACCCUCUAUCACCAUAUAUUGGAUAUAAGCAAUUAUUUAGUGAAAUCUAGUACACAUAUUAAAUUGGAUUUGGGUUGUCAAACCUUGUAAGACUCACGUGUGUCAACCUUUAUUAAAGGUUCGAAUUCAUUUCUACGUAUAUUAGGUAGAUGCAACAAUUUAUAUUUGGACCAAUCAAAUUAUACGGAUUGUUGCCUCAAAGUCCACUUUUCAUCUUGAUCGGAUUUAAGCGAUGCACAUCAAGACAAAAGCCAUCUCGAUCUAACUAGAAUACUUCAGAACUUAAAAGUCUUCGAUUCACACCAUCAUUUGAUGUUGUUCUCCCGGGCAUAAUAACCGUCUCUUGUUCACACCUUUUAUUAUGCAUCAGUACACUUUGCUUCAAACCAUCUAGGCACUCUUAUUCAAUCCUUUGACACUCAGAACCAAGCCAUGCCCAUCGCAGAACUCUUUCUUGGUGCCUUUCUUCAGGUGCUGUUUGAUAGGUUGGCCUCUCACAAUCUGCUCAACUUUGCACGGCACGAGGGGAUUGAUACACGGUUGAAGAAAUGGGAAAAGAUGCUGAUCGAAAUCCACGAGGUGCUGGAUGAUGCAGAGGACAGGCAACUGAGCGGACAUCUCGGAGUGAAGUCAUGGCUUGAAGAUCUUAGGAACUUGGCCUAUGACAUCGAAGACUUACUUGAUGAGUUCGCCACAAAAUCCAUUGAAAGCAGGUUUAAGGCAGAAUCCAGCACUAAAAAGGUGAGUUCCCUUCUUCCGAGUUGUUGCUUCAGAUUGAGCCCAAGAGCGUUUAUGCUUGACCACAAAAUGAGAUCCAAUAUAGAAGAUAUGGAUGACAGAUUACGGGAUAUCAUAACUCGGAAAGAUAGUCUUAGCUUGAGAGAAAAUAAUGGGCAGCGAUCAGCACAUGGCCCACUGGAUAAGCCCCUACCCACUACACAUUUGCCCGAGCCUUGUUUCGUUAGUAGGGAGGUAGAAAAAAUGGAGAUAAUCAGAUUACUAAUCACAGAAGAACAUGAUAGAACGUAUGCAGAUAUAAAUGUGAUUCCCAUAGUAGGGAUGGGGGGUGUUGGAAAGACAGCUCUAGCCCAACAAGUCUACAAUGAUGCUAGAGUCACCAACUAUUUUGAGGUGAAAGCAUGGGUUUGUGUUUCUGAUGAGUUCGAUGUGCUUGCUGUUACAAAGAGAAUCUUUGAGGCAACCAAUGACCAUUCAUCUUGUGAAUGUAAGGACUUGAAUUGGCUUCAAGAUAAGCUCAAGGACAACCUUUUUGGGAAGAAGUUUCUUGUCGUGUUAGAUGAUGUUUGGAACGAGAAAUAUGGAAAGUGGACUACCCUCUUGAAGCCUCUUCAAUCGGGAGCAAAGGAAAGCAAGAUCAUCAUCACGACUCGUAACCUCCAUGUUGCUUCAAUAGCUGGUGCUCCCCCGAAAAUUCUUAAAGAGUUGUCACUAGAUGCUUCUAUGACUUUGUUCACAUUUCAUGCUCUAGGAGUCAGAAAUUUCGAUCGUCAUCCCGAUCUUCAUGAAUUAGGUCAGAAGAUAGUGGAAAAAUGCAAAGGAUUGCCAUUAGCCGUGAAGACAUUAGCUGGGAUAUUACGCACUGAAGUUAGUCCCCAUAAAUGGAGAACUAUAUUGAACACCAAAAUUUGGGACCUACCGGAAGAAAGAAAUGAGGUCCUUCCAGCUUUGAAACUUAGCUAUCUUAAUCUCCCUUCCAAGCUGAGAAGAUGUUUUGCUUACUGUGCUAUAUUUCCCAAGGAUUAUGAAAUCAAACGAGAUGAGUUGAUUCACUGGUGGAUUGCAGAGGGCUUGGUGAAGGCAAAAGAAGGAAAAAACUGUUGGAAUGAAGGUUUGGAUUAUUUCAAUGAGCUAGUAUCUAGAUCAUUAUUUCAAAAGUCAAGCAACAAUGGAUCACGAUUCUUGAUGCAUGAUCUUGUGAAUGACUUGGCAAAGCUAGUUGCGGGUGUAACCUAUUUUAGCUUAGGGGAGUUGGAGUUUGAGGGUGACCAAAACAAUUCAUCUUUAGCUCGUCACGCCUCAUUCAUUCCCAGCGAUCUUGUUGUGUCGGAAAGAUUGAAGAUAUAUCAUGGAAUGGAGGGACUUAGGAGCUUCAUAUCAUUAGAGAAGCAAUAUUGUACUUCCUUUGUGUCCCAGAAAGUGCUAUGUGACUUGUUGUCGGGAUUGAAGUACUUGAGGGUGCUUUCAUUAAGUCACUAUAACAUUAGAGAGGUACCGGAUUGCAUCGACAAACUAAUGCACCUAAGGCAUCUCAAUCUAUCGUACACUGAUAUUGAAAGGCUUCCAAAGUCAAUUGUCACAUUGUACAACCUAGAGGCUUUGAUGUUGCGUAGUUGUCAAUACCUUAUUGAAUUACCUAACAGUAUGGAGAAACUUGUCAAUUUAAGAUUUCUUGACAUCACCAACACUUGGAGCCUAAGAGCAAUGCCGUUGUAUAUAGGUAAUUUGGUUGGUCUUGAGAUGUUGUCUAAGUUUGUAGUGGGAACAGAAAAUGGGUCGAGGUUGAAGGAGUUAAAAAACCUAAAGAACCUUGGCGGGGAAUUGUGUAUCUUUAAUUUGCAUAAGGUUCGAGAAGCUGAAGAUGCCAAGGAUGCUAACUUACCCCAGAAGGAGGGAAUAUGCCGGUUGACCAUGCAAUGGAGUGAAGAUUUUGAAAAUUUCUGGAAUGAAGAGCUUGAAGCAAAGGUCCUCGACUUUCUUCACCCUCACCAAAACCUCAAAAGUCUCACAAUAUCCUACUACAGUGGCCUAGAAUUCCCGUCAUGGUUAGGAAGUCCCUCAUAUGUUAACAUAGUUCAUUUGUAUUUACAUGACUGUCGUAGGGCCAAGGCAUUACCAUCACUUGGGCAGCUAUCUUCGCUAAAAGAAGUGUACAUCAAAAGUCUAAAUGCAAUAUGCACCGUAGGGCCUAAAUUUUAUGGAACUAAAAGUCCUUUUCCAUCCUUAAUAACAUUAAAAUUUGAGGACAUACCUUUAUGGGAGGACUGGUCUCAUUGCAUUGGUACCGAAGUAGAAGUUUUCUUCCCUCGUCUCGAGCAUCUCAUCAUUCGGGAUUGUCCUCUGUUGAUCGGAAAAUUGCCUAGUCAACUAAGUUCCCUUAUAAAGCUCAAAAUUAAGUCAUGUUCGCGUAUGGAUACCUCGUCCUCUAUCAUUAGCCUUCCAUCCCUCAAUGAUUUAUACUUUGGAAGUUGUAAUGAGGGAUUGCUAAAGAGUUUGGUUAACCUAACAUCUCUUACUGCUCUUGUCAUAGAAGAUGUGGCUGAAUUGACUUGCUUAAAUCAUGAGUUUACAAGCUCCUUGAUCAAGCUGGAGAAGUUGGAGAUUAGUAGUUGUGAAAAGUUGAUACACUUAUGGCAAGAUAGAGACGUAACUCGAAAUCUCGUUUCUCUGAAGAGCUUACUUGUCAAUAGUUGUCCUAGGUUGAUAUCUUUUGUGGCUAAAGAAGGAGAUGUAGAGCUGCCCGGCAACCUUGAGACUAUCGAUUUGAGGAAUUGCUUCAAUUUAGAGACCCUCCCAAGCAAGAUGCACGUCCUCUCCUCUCUUAAGGGCUUGGCCAUUAAAAAGUGUCCAAAACUUGUUUCCUUCCCUGAUACAGGUAUACCGACAUCAUUGAUGUCAUUAGAUAUAAAUCAUUGCAAGAUGUUGCAAUUUUUACCUAGAGGAUUAAGUAUUCAACUGGAUGAACUAAGCAGCAAUAGUAGCGGUAAUCACAGUGGCAUGAUGCCUUGUCUGCAAGAGUUGAGGAUCUUUGGAUGUGAUUCUCUGCCAACCUCUCCAUUUGGCAAGGGUAGAUUUUCACUUGGGUCCCUUAGGAGACUAACUAUUGGAAAUUGCAAGGAAGUGGAGUCGCUCAUGGAGAUAAACCUAGACCAUCUUCCUUCACUUGAGGUGACCAAAAUUUUGGAUUGCAAGAAUUUGAGAAGCUUACCCCAGGGCUUGCACACGCUAUCCCAUCUCACUUCCUUGGUAUUGGACAGAUGUCCUGCUCUAGAGCUCCAGUGCUUCCCUCCUCUUCCUCCCAGCAUCUCGAGCUUGUGCUUUUCUUGGUGUCCAAAAAUAAAAUCCUUACCUAAUCAAUUGCACCAACUUACAUACCUCCGUGUUCUAAUAAUUUCAUGGUGUGAGAGUAUUACAAGCUUUCCCCAUGGAGGAUUACCACCCCAGUUACAGACACUUAGGAUAUGGGGAUGCAGGAAUAUGAAACAGCCAGUAAGGGAGUGGCUCACCCCCCUCACCUCCCUUCAAUAUCUCAGGAUCGACGGUAGCGUUGGAAGAGUGGGGGAGGAGAAGGAUCUUCUGCUUCCGCUCCCUCCUUCUCUGCUCCAUCUUGAAAUUAAAGAUAUGCUGAACGUGGAAAGACUGUCCAGCAAACUCCCUCCCUCUCUUCAGACCUUAUUGAUCUAUGAUUGCCCGAAGCUGAGGGAAUUGCCCCAGGAUGGCCUCCCUCCCACCCUAGGAGAACUCUGGAUUGAAAGAUGUAGGAUUCUCAAGGAGCGAUGCUCGACACUAACCGGCUGCUAUUGGCACCUCAUCCGUGAAAUCCCGCAAGUCACAUCCAGGUACUUUGAAUCGACUUUUGAAUCUAAGUCGAUUAAAUAAAAGGGCUUUUUGGACCCAAAAAUUUUGUGUAUAUAGGCCAAGGCUAUUUCCACAGCUAAAAUAACUGCUGCCACAACCAUUUAAUCUAAACAGACAAUAAUACUCUUCACUUUACACAAAACAUGGCCUCUUCUCUUUCGGCAUUUUCAGCUCCUCUUUCCCCCAUACUCCCAUCCAUCCCACUUUACAAAUCUUGCUGAUGCAUAGAGGAUUGGCAUAUUUUCACCUCGAUUUAGUUUUUCAUUAAUUCCUCAAAAAUCAAAGAGACGUGCUGCAAUCAAAUAUCCGUAACGGCGAAGAAAACCAAAGCACUAUUCUUCUUGAGGGAUUGUACUCAUGUUGUGAAUUGCUGGGACAAGUAUAAAUCUACCAAGGCAGAUUAAUUGGUGUGUGGGUGGGACUUGUCGUCUCUUUUUCUCUUUUUGUCGAGCCUAUGACGAUGAGAUUUAAGUGCUAGAUCGUUCAUCAGGCUAGGAAGUGAUGCAAUGCGUGGUUAUUUUCCAAAUUUAAAAUGCAGAGUUUCUCUUUUCGAUCAGGUGAUGAUCUUCAACUGCUUUCUUGCUAUUCUUCUUGCUGUCACUUUGAAGGACGAGAGUUUAUGGUUAUGGAGUAUGAUUGGAAUUUAGAACAGGAUCCGUUCUGAAGGGUUGUUAAAUUCUAACAUUCACCCUCCGUUGCUUUGCAGAUAAGAUUUGUCAACUCCAUCAGAAUAACCUGUGAGCUACAGCUUCUCGUUUCUAUUCUCUGCUUAGUAGCUGUGAUUGCGGUAGGUGCAAUGAUCUUUCUACAGUUCAUGCGGUGAUGGCAUUGGAAUUGUUUGAAUGCCUUCUUCCAAGUCAUCCUCGCCCCUUGAAUCAGGACGUGCAUUUGCUCCCAAGAAGACUUCCAUGCCUCGAUUCAUAUCAUCAAACUCGGGUAUGAUCUUGCCAUUUACUAACUCCUACUCUUUAACUCUUCUACUCGUAGUCAUUUCUCUACUCAGAUUCGUCAUCAGUUCCCCCGUCAUUUGAAAUGCUUCGUCAGAUGUCAACACACCAGGGAAAAUGCCAAUAUAUCUGGGAUGUCAUUAACGGAGUGUCUCGUUGGAAUUUGGAUUUCUCAGCUUAGUUUUGCAUUCUAGCUGUUUGUUGCAUUCCCUCAUCCCACUCUUUUGUCAAUGUUUUCCUCUGUCUCGUUCACCAAGAUUCUCUCAAUCUUGCUUCCCCUGCAGAUCGCAUUGGAAUUCCAUUGGUGAAGUUUGUGGGUACGACCCAGUUACCCAUGUAAAGGUCUAUAUAGCUCUCCUUCACCGUUGCCUCACCAGUAUUGAGUCUAGGAGAAGAUGCUAAGGGGGACAUCCGACCAUGCCACUGCGGCCUUUCUCGUUAAGAUCUUGACUUUUGUGGAAACUUUUCCAUGAUUAGUUGGUUCGUGAAUUUCUCAAGAGGAUAGGUAUGCAUAUCUCCUCUUUUCCCAUUCAACAAGUGCCUGUUUUUCCUCGAUGUGCAAUCCACUAGAUGAGUCUGAGUCUGGACAUAAUUUACACGAUACCCAAAUAGCAAAGACAAGCUUGAAAAGCCGCAUCACAUCUAGAAACUGUAGUUAAGAACUUCAGAUUGAUAGAGCAAACUCAUGCCAUGUUAAUGGCCAUUAGGUGCUUUGAAUUGUCUUUCCUGUUUUAGACUGGAAACUUCAACACAUUUACUAAGCGUGAAAAGUGCCCGAUUACUCUUUUUAUAUCUAGAAUUCUGAUAUGGAAAAAUCACUUUUGCAGCAUUCACCAGAAGUGGAAGAAACUCUGUAUUGACUUUUGGUCGGCAUUUACAGAUACAAUGUACAUAUUCCCACAAACGUGAUCUUCAUUUCUGAGCACACUCUGCGGUACAUCGAAAUAUAUGUAGGAAAUGGAUUAUUGUGCCUCAACCCUCAUUCCAUCAUUUUACUCACCAUCCAAGAUUAAAGAAUGGUUUAGUUGGUUUGAGUACAGACAUAAAUGAAGGCUUUUCGUAUCCUAGAUAGGAAUCAAUGAAAUAUUUGCUCGUUUCGAUAACUAUCCAUGUUCCGCUUCACGGAAUCAGAGAAACAUCGCCCUGCAGUCGCUGGUUGGCUAAGUUUAAAGGGUGGGUAAAUUUGUUUCUGCUAUAUUUUUCGACAGGAUGUUCAAAAGACAUGGCUAAUGGUCAUGGGUAUAAUCAGAAUCUAGAAAGAAUCUCUUUUGAAGGAUUAGCAAAUUGCCCGCAUUUUCCAACAAAUUGUCCACAUCCUAUUUGUUCAUUUCUAGCAUGGAAUCAAAGCACGUGUCAAUGGUUCAAAAUAAGAGUGGCGCUGUGCUGGAUCAUUUCUCAAGGAGGAUAACUUAUGACUCUUCUCUUCCUCUGCAGGCCAAAGCAUCUGCUGUAAUUCUUAAUUGAGAAAGCAUUAGUUUCUACUUGAGUUUGGAAAAGUUGCCUCCAUAUUUGCAUGUGUUUAGAAGUGACCCGAUUUGAUCCGGAGUAGCAAGAACAGAAUACACGUAUUAAUGCCCGUCACCAAAGUCCUUUCUUGAUUUUCGGAGUAAACCAUGUCUGAAUUCAACAUUUCCAGAUACGGGUCGGCUUUUGCGGGAACUUAGGUGAGGCCACUGGAGUACUUUAUUUUUAGGCUUUGUUGCCACUGGUAGGAAAGGCAGUUUAUGAUUCUUGCCAUUCUCAGACGGCAGGCUUAUGAGCUGUUCUAACUUUCUAAUGAGCCUCUCUCCAACAUUUUCUUUAGCAUUGAAAUUUGACGGUUGAAUUUUGUAAGUGCGGCAGCCAUUAGUCAGAUUUCAUGGUCGCCUGAACUCACAAUCGCUGCGGGGGAUAAUGGCGAGCGACUCCCCUGUUCACGGCUCCGCUUUCCCUCCGGUUUCAGCUUCUUCCUAAUCAUUUCCUCUGCAUUGCGUGCUUCCCAGGGAAAAUUCGACGGACAGAUAAUUGGCGAUGAAGCAAGAAAUAAUUGAUCAGAAACUGAGAUGUUCGGACAUUAGGAGUCUCGAUCGUCCACGCUGGUGGUGAGAAUCCAAGUUUCGAUGUGCUGAAUCCAACUUUGCCCGUUCCUGACUCACUGAGUCUGAGGACUGUUUGAAAAGCAGCGAGGAAGAUGAAAUCGCUUCUGAAUUCUUCUUCACCUCCGAGGUAUCCUGCGAAGAUCCUCCUGCGAGCUGGAGAGCUGGUGACGGGGCCUUUUGGGAGCUGCUAUGGAGGAAGAGUGAGUGAUCUCUAAGCUUGACCGAAUCAUUCGUGAGAACUCUGUCAAUGCUGGUGUCGAACUCGCCAGACGCAUAAGUGCACGUUGGAUUUUUCGAUAAAAAAUUGAGGUGUCAACAACAAUCAAUGCUUCCAUCCGUUUAGAUACGAAUUCCACCGUGACAAUGAAUAUUUUCAAUCAGUUACUGCCAUAACUAUACGUGGCCGACUUAUUGAUUUUGAUUCGAAAAGCCUUCAGGUCAAAGCAGGCUGAAUAAAUGUUCUAGGAUGAGCUAACAACAGCUAAAUCAUCUCGAUCCAACCUAAUUUCAUGGAGUUCAUGACAAGGUAGGUGGGAUUGGUUAAUAAUGGCAAAUCUAAAAGUAAGACCACCAAAAACGGAAUGAUGUGCACAAGUUAAAGAAUCAGAACAGUAUCCUAAUCCGUUUCAACACUAAUCAUUUCGCUGAUAUGAUAAGCUAAAAGCAUCUCAGACUUCACGUGCUGAUAGAUACAUAUUUCGCUCAUAACGCAUGCUCACUUUAUGAUAAAAUCCCAUUAACACAAGGAUUUAAUUCUCCAACUUUCACGGCAGGUCCGCAUGAGAUCUAGCUUUCUCCAGUUUUCGAUUGCCUGCACAUGACCUUUAUAUAGCCUUUUUAUACUUUCUCUAAACUUAAAGAAAAGACAGCCCCUGCACUUACGAAUAAGCAAAACCAUCACAUUUCAACCUCUCCCUGUGCUAUGGUGCUUAUCUUCCAUAAGCAAUAAUCUUCCUUCAAAUUCUGCAAUUUUUCAUCGUAAUCCUCCUUCCUCCUUCCUCUUCUUCAUAUCAUUCACUGAUGCUCUAUGGACGACAGCAAACCAUUGGACAAAACUCGUCAUCCUAUGAGCUCAUACCACAAAUCAUUACCCAUACAAAGACCUCCCUUUGCAAACCUGAUUCAGCAGUUCUAGGCCAGGUAAGUAUACAACACAUGCUUCACAUUUAAUAAGUCUGAGAAUAUGAGGCAAAAAGAAAAAAAGAAAGGAGAACUUGAAUCAUCAAUAUCAUAUUCCUGUGCCUAACCUAUUAGCGACCAAUUUUGGCGGAAAAUCUUUGUCAUGGACACUGACUGUCCUACAUGGCAAUUGUCACGUCGGUGAUUUCUAGCCAAAAUUAGCUAGAAUGAGUAUAUUGAUAAGUUGUCAAAAGGUUUAUGACUAAAAUUGCAAAUCAAUAAAAGGUUUAUAACUGAAUUGACAAAAUCAAAAUAUUUAAGAUUGAAUUGACCAUCGUACAGUAGGUUUAAAAUCUUUUGGACAAUUAUCUUGAAUCAAAAACGUAUAUUACUCCCUACAUUAUACAAUUUUUCUUGAAUAGAUAAUAUCUUUUGUUAAGUUGAAUUUUCUCAUAUUUCCCAGGAAAGACUAAGGCUUUGUUUCUUUCAUGAAAAACAAUUUUUCGGAAAACAUUUUCCUGAUUUUCCGGUGUUUAUUUCACAAAAAACGAACUAGUUAUAGCAAACAUUUUUCACAAAGGAAAACAAGUCUUCUAAAAGAGGACAAAAUGUUUUCCACUUUUUAAAUUAGGGAAAACAUUUUCCUUACUCAAUCUUGUCUCAUGCUCUAUUAGCCCCGCUUCCUUUUUUUUUUUUUUAAAUUUGAAUUUUAAAUCUUUUUUCUUUUUCUUCUUUUUCCUCUUUUUCUUUUCGUUUUCCUUUUUUUUUUCCACCUUCUUCUGUAGUUGAUCAUUGACAUGGCUAUGGCCGGUGAUCGGCCACAAGCGAGCCUUAGGCCUCACCUGGCUCACCCUCACACUUGUCGAUCUCUAGCCUGCACUGGCGAGGUCAGAGGCUAGAGAGCUCGAGGCUUGCCCUCACAUUCGCCUAUCUCUAGCGAGCUCGUGGCAAGCUUGAGGUUCCUGCUCACUAGAUCCACGAGCCAAUGACGAGCAUGAACCUCUAGCUCACUACUCACCAAAUUAGUGAGCCAGCAGCAAGCGUGAGCCUUUAGCUUAGCCUAAGGUCGGCAAGCUAGCAGAAGCUUGGCUUUGGUCGGUUGCCGACAAUAGUUGUGGCUAGCAACUAGCCAAAGAAGAAGAAGACAAAAAGAAAGGAAAGGAAAGAAAAAAAAUAAAAAAAGAUAAUUAAAAUUUGUUUUUAAAAAAUAAUUAAAAUUUUGAUUUUUAAAAAUAAUAAUAAUAUCAUAGUUAUUGAAAAAAAAAUUGCAUAGAGAAAAAAAAUUUCCUUACUGAACAAUGAAAUAAUAUUUUCCAUUUCAUUUUCAAGUUUUAGCUGAAUACUGAAAAAUAAUUACAUUUUUCUAGAAAAUAUUUUUUCAGAAAUGCUAUAUUUUCAAGGAAACAAAUGGAGCCAAUUUACAAUAUAAUUUGUCUCGCUUUUUCAGCUGUGGAUCUUCAUUUGUCAGUGUGAAGUGUAUAAUCCCUAUAUAUUUGAAGUCAUCACUUAGCAAAGAUUCCUAUAACUUUUUAGUUCUUAAAUUCAAUUAAAAUUUUCAUUUUCAUUAUGCAAAUUGUGCAUGACAUUUUGCCAAAAAACAUAAUGCACAUAUGACAUAUAAACCUAUUAUAUGAAUGCCAAUUUAGUUAUAAACCUUUUAAUUUACUCAUUUAGUUCUAAACCUUUUGACGAUUUGUCAAUCUAGUCCUUCCGGCCAAUUUUGGUAAAAAAUAAUUAACAUGAAUACUAGUCAUUCUAUAUAACACAGUUGGCGUUGAUGAAAGCAAUUUUUGCAAUUAGAAAAGUUUGAAAUUUUUAUAAAUUUUCUUUGCUCUUUCCAUUUCUUUUUUUUUUCAUUGUGGUCGGCGAUAGCCACUAGGUGAAGGCUUGCAAGCUCUCACCAGUUGCCCCGAGGGGGGGGGGGGGAGCAAGGCGACCGCAAUGAAAAAAUAAGAAAAUAAAAAAUAUUAAAAAUUUCAGAUUUUUUUUUUUAAAUUUACAAAAAUUGUCUAUGUUAAUGCCGAUUAUGUCACGUAGGAUGAUAGACAUCCCUAUUAGAGAUUUUUAAUCAAAAUUGGCUAAAAUGAUCACAUUGGCAAAUUGUUAAAAUGUUUAGAAAUAAUCUUAUCAAAUUCAAAUUAAAAGGUUUAAGGCUGAAUUGACAUUCGUACAAUUAAAAAAGUUUGAAAUUUUUAUAAAUUUUCUUUGCUUUUUCCAUUUCUUUUUUUUUUUCAUUGUGGUCGGCGAUAGCCACUAGGUGAAGGCUUGCAAGCUCUCACCAGCUGCCCUGAGGGGGGGGGGGGGGGGGAGCAAGGCGACCGCAAUGAAAAAAAUAAGAAAAUAAGAAAAUAAAAAAUAUUAAAAAUUUCAGAAUUUUUUUUAAAAAUUUACAAAAAUUGUCUAUGUUAACGCCGGCUAUGUCACGUAGGAUGAUAGACAUCCCUAUUAGAGUUUUUUACUCAAAAUUGGCUAAAAUGAUCACAUUGGCAAAUUAUUAAAAUGUUUAGAAAUAAUCUUAUCAAAUUCAAAUUAAAAGGUUUAAGGCUGAAUUGACAUUCGUACAAUAAGUAUAAAACUUUUUUGACAAUUAUCACCCUGGAAAUUGUGCAUGACACUCUACAAGUUAAUCUUAGUUCAAGGCAUGAAAUCUAAAAUUUAUAUAAAAAGUUGGCUUUGCAUCAAGUUUUCUUUCCAAUAGGUGUUUAGUAUUGUGCAAAUGAUUAGAUUAUGUAUAUUAUUAUUCUUUUAACGUCCUCAAUUUUGUGGUUUUACAGCGUAAGGAGCAUUUUUAGCAAUUGGUUUUGGAUGUUAUAUAUUCCGGUUGCCAUAAUCGCACACACGAACGAGUGGUCGGCUUGUCUCUGUCGCUUGAUGGAACCGUUUAUUUGUAAUGGAUCUAAUAGACAAGUCCUUUCUUGUCUUAAGGAUAGUUUUGGUGGCACGACUGUAACCCUGUAGAAAUUCUCUUAUAAGGAAAUCAGGUAAAGGGUUUGAAGAACCAUUUGUGAAUUGGAUAUCAAGAUCAAAAACUAAUAGGAUGGCUGCCAUCUUGCAAAAAUAUGUGUUGGUGCAGUGUUUAAAAUAUCUUUUCAUAAUACUUCUUUUGUUCAUUUGCAAUCAAUACGUAAGAGAAAUUUGGAAGAUUUCUUCAACAAUUAGAAUGGGUACAGUUUAAAGGUUAUAUACAUAAAUAUUGCCAAAUAAUCGAUGAAAGUUUUUUAACUUUUUUUGGCCAAUCAAACACAUACAUACAGACAUACAUACAUAAAUAUUUAUAUUAUUUUUAGUCAUGUUGGUCCUGAGAUUAGACUAUGUAUAAAAACAAUGAUGUGGCAUUCUACAUCAACGCAUGACAGAUAUUAAAUUCUGACGGAAGAAAAAAUAUGGAAAAUCGAAAACGAAAACCGUAUGAGAGAAAAAGCCAGCGUUUAUAGUUAGGUCUGACGAGGAGAGAGAGACGCUUGCUUUGAGCUCAAUGAAGAUUGUCACCCUUCACUGAGUUGCACCAUUAUUGAUCGAGAUACCACGUGACCGUUAAAUCGAAAAUAAAAAUAGAGACCAAUUACACUUGACAUGUCAUAAAAUUUAGACAAUCAUAUAAUGAUAUGGUCUGCAUAAACUAAAUUAGAUAUUAAUUUAUUCUUAUUUUGAUAAUUUGACGGAGUUCACGAGGCUUGCAUAAGUGAGAUGGUGAUGUCAUGAUCUAUGUGAUGCAUGAUGAUGAUGGUCAAGCUUGAGAAAUUGAAGAUCGUAAGGUGUACAAAGUUAAUACACUUGCGGCAAAACAAAGAUGUAAUUCAUGAUCUCGCUUGUUUGAAGAGCGUAGUCGUCAACAAUUAUUUGGAAUUCGUAUAUUUUGUGGCUGGAGAAUGAGAUAUAGAGCUACUAAGUAACCUUGAGACUAUCAAAUUGACAAAUUGCAUCAACUUAGAGAAGCUCCUAAGCAAGAUGCACACAUUUUCCUCUCUUAGACGUAUGACAAUCGAUAACUAUCCAAAACUCGUGUCCUUUCUCGAAAUAGGCAUACCAAUAUACUACAAGGUGUUAUGAUCUUUACUCAUAGGAUUAAUUGUUCAUCUAGAUGAAGCCAGCAGCAGCAGUCAUACCCAUGGUAACAUGAUGUAUUGUGUACAAGAAUUAACAAUUUCCGGAUGCAAUUAUCUGCCAUUUAGCAAGGGUAGAUUUUUACCCUCGACCCUCAAGAGACUUGCAAUUUGGAAUUGGAGGAGAGUGGAGUCACUUGCAGAGAUAAAUGUUGACCAUUUUCAAUCGAUUCAAGAGAUUGAAAUUAGGGGUUGUAGGAAUGUGAGCAGUUUACCCCAGUGCCUACAAACUGUCUCAUCUCACUUCCUCGAUAUUGGAUAGUUAUCCUGCUCUAGAGCUGGAGUGCUUUCCUCCUCUUCCACCUGGCAUCUUGAAAGUUUGUCUUUGGGAUGUCCGAAGAUAAAAUCAUUACCUAAUGAGUUCCAUUGACUUUCAUGUCUCCGAGAUCUGGAAAUUUUUGAAUGUGAAGAGUAUUACACGCUUCCCCAAUAGAGGAUUGCCGUCCUAGCUACAGGAACUCGGUGUAUGGGGAUGCAGGAAUAAGAAGCAACCGGUGAGGAAGUGGCUUACCCCCCUCACCUCCCUUCAAUAUUUGAGGAUCAACGGUAGCGCUGGAGGCGUGGGAGGGGAGGAGGAUCUUCUACUUCCGCUCCCUUCCUCUCUACUCCAAUUCGAUAUCUCAUAAAUGGGGAAUGUGGAAAGACUGUCCAGCAGUCUCGCAGCUCGCUCCCUCUCUCCAGACCUUAUGGAUCGUAUGAUGCCCGAAACUGAGGGAAUUCCCCUCGGAUGGCCUCCCUCCCUCCGUGGAGCUACUCUGCAUAGUAUAAUGUGGGAUUCUCAAGGAGCGAUGCACAAAACUUGUUGAAAGAAAAUAUGAUUGAAGAUCUAGGAUCUGAUUGAGGAUUUGUAUUGAUUGUAAUUGAUAGGAGAUGUGAUUAAUUUAGGACUAGAAAAAUUAGAAGAAUUUAUUUACUUUUUUUAUUGAACUCUCUUGUACAAUAUAUACAUCAUUGUAUUACAUCUAGAAAUCAAUGAAGCAAAUACAAUUUUCCUCCUUACACGAAAUUCCCAUAUUCCUUUUCUUCUUGUCUUCUUCUUGAAUCUGUGACAUGGUAUCAGAGUGUGUCUUGAUUCUGACAUAAGCUUCCGCACUAAAAUCAGCCUUUGUUACUUCUCUGUUUUCUAUUGCUGCAAUCCUUGCAGAACGGAACAGAAUCCAGUCUUCUCUGUUUCUCGUUGCUGCAACUCUCCAGAACAGAACAACAUCCAGGAGGAAGUUCUUCAUCCAACCUUCAAUUAUUUGUUCAAAAAUUAAUCUACAAAACAGAGUUGUUGCAGAUUUUUUAGAAAAUUGUCACCAUGACGAAUCCACAAGCACUUACCUCAGGAUUCGGUGAUCAGUCCGCAGGAGAAACAACGCCACAAGUCUCGCAGAUCCAGGAAUCAUCAAUUGUUACUAUGCCCGAAGGGCAAAUCCAGUCACAGGGUCAAACUCAGCAUACACAGUGGGUACCUGUUCCGGCUCAGGCUAAUUUGGGGCAACCCUAUUUGGGCCAACCUUACCAAUGGGUACCAAAUCCUUGGUAUUAUGGGACGGGCCCAAAUGCAUCAUUGCCGGGAUUUUGAAAUGGUGUACAAACUGAUGGAGGCCUACCAGCCAGCAGCAGGGCAGGCACAAACACCAGUUCACAGCAGACAGGCGGAUCAGCCGAGCCAGGUAUGGGAUCAAAUCCCUACCCGGGUUCAUUUUUUUCUAAUGUGGGUCAUUCAACCGAAUCUGGGGGAUCGGGUUUGGGAGCAAAUCCCUACCCGAGUCCGCCACCAAGGUUCCUCCCAUACCAGAUCUACGCUGCCAGCAGCCAGCCGAAACCCGGCGACCCUCUUUACACAACCAAUGCCGACAGACCAGAACUGAAGCUUGUUGCUCAGCAGUUAACUGGACCUGAUAAUUACUCGAGAUGGUCGCGCGAGUUCUGACUCGCUCUGGUAACGAAGGAUAAGGAGGGCUUUAUUGAUGAAACGGUUUUGAUUCCGUCCAACGAACGACUAGCGCGACUUUGGAAAAAAUAUAAUCAGCUAGUCAGAACGUGGAUCGGAAAUAGCAUUGCUUCCGAAGUUGCGGCCGGUCUUCCUCUGACGGAGGACUCAAAAGAAAAUGUGGGAGAACAUCAAGGAGAUGUAUGGAAAAUUGGAUCAAGUAAAAAUCUUUUCUUUGACGCAACAGAUCUCGGAUUUAAAGCAAGGAAACAUGACUGUUGCUGCAAUUUUUAACAAACUUUUGAGUCUGUGGAAUGAAUUGGAAGCGGUCGAAGAAAAAUUCGAUUGGCCGAAGCCGAUUUUACAACAAUACAAAAGGAUGCGAGACAAGGAGAAAGUCAUCGGAUUUCUCCUCAUAUUAAACGAAUCUUACCUUUCGUUUUGAUCGCAGAUCUUAACCAUGGAGCUGAUGCCAAGCCUUGACCGUAUCUACUAGCUCACAAUCCAGGAGGAAAACCAACAGAGAGCAACAAAUCUCGGAAAGGAAGGCGAGAGAGUGGCUCUAACGGCGAGGGUUUCCUCUCACUCGCUACAGAAAACCACAGGAGGAAGAGAAGGUCGAAGACCUAAUCUAGGGUUUUACGAAAACCCUAUAUCUUAUAUACGAACGACGAAUGGCCACGAUUUUCCUGAUCGAUCGAACGGCCCACGGUCAAUCCUUAGAGCUGUUGGAUCCGACGGCUCAUAGAGUGGCGCAGCCGCUGAAUCCAACGAUUCAUGUGCAGGGGGUUUCUAUGGUUUCGAAGGUCCACACGGCCAAAUCAUUUUUGGGCCCGAUGGCCCACAGGCGCAAUUUUUCGCAUCAUCCGAAGCCCCAUAUGGGGGAACAACGGCCCAUGCUGUUAGCAGGCCUCCCUCAUUUGCAAAAAAACAACAAAGGAAAGGGUAAGUUGUAUUGUGAGUACUAUAAACACCCGCACCACACAAUUGAAAGUUGCUGAAAAUUACAUGGUAAACCUGGUGAAAAAGAAAAUGGAAAGUUUUCAACUAUCUUUCAGGUGAUAGGUAAAUCAGUAGACAAGCCAAUAACUCAUGGGGAAUAUCAGGAGCUGAUGGAAGCUCUAAAGAAAUUGGAUCCUUCUGACAAGGCAGGCAGUUUCACAGGUAUUUCUUAUUGACUGAUGAACUCAAUUUCGAUUGAUGCAUGGAUCAUAGAUACAGGAGCUAGUGAUCACAUUGUCUGUAAUCCAAAAUUCUUUUCCAAUGUCAAAAGGUUAUCUUUUCCAAUAUCAGUAUAAUUUCCCAAUGGAAAUACCACACAUGUUGGAAUGACUGGCACCGUGAAUCUUAGUCCACUCAUCAUUCUUAAAAAUGUCCUUUAUGUUCCUACUUUCCAUUUUAAUCUCAUAUCAGUCUCUGGAGUUUGUGAAGAAAAUUCUUGUCAUGUCUCUUUUGACUUUGAUAAAUGUCUAUUUUAGGCCCUUUCGAUUGGCAAACUGAUGGGCUUUGGUAGAAUCUAUCAAGGUCUUUAUUUUUGGAGUAAUCCUCCAGGCAAUUUUAAAUUAUCCUCUGUUGCAUUUAAUAAACCAUUGUGUAACAUUGUUGCCAAUGAAAGAAAUUUUCUUCACCAUCAAAGAUUGGGUCACACUGCUUCUUUCCCUUGUCCUUAAUGUACCAUUUGCCCUUUGGCAAAACAAACUUGUGCCCCCUUUCAAAACAGUAAGACCCGAGUAGACGAAAUUUUUUCUUUGAUUCAUGCUGAUGUCUGGGGACCAUAUCACACAAUAAAUCAUGAUGGUUCGAGAUUUUUUCUUACAAUCGUGGAUGAUUUCUCACGUGCCACUUGGGUCUUUCUCAUACAAUCAAAAGGUCAAGUUCUUUCUCAUCUUAAAAUCUUCCUUUCCUUAUCCAAAACUCAGUUUGGAAAAUUAGUUCGUCACAUCUGCACUGAUAAUGGUAGGGAAUUCUUCAAUGGUGAUUGUACUUCCUUUCUUACCUCAAAUGGUAUUUUACAUGAAAGUACCUACACUUAUAGCUCACAGCAAAAUGGGGUAGUUGAGCGAAAGCAUCGUCAUCUGUUAGAAGUGGCACGUGCUCUUAAAUUCCAGGCAUCUAUACCAGAACAAUUUUGGGGAGAUUGUGUGAUCACUGCGGCAUAUAUGAUAAAUCGUAUGACAUCUCGCAUUUUAGAAGGCAAAGCUCCAUUUGAAUUAUUGUAUGGAAGGAAACCAGAUCUAAGUCAUCUCAGAGUCUUUGGCUACUUAUGUUAUGUGGCUACAGUAGGUCCCAGGGAUAAAAUGUCCCCUUGUGCUCGACAGUGUAUCAACAGUAUACCGGGGAGUUUUUUAUCAACAGAGAUGUGGUUUUUCAUGAAGAUAUUUUUCCUUUCUGGGAUAUUACUUCUAUGUUUGCAUAUGAUAUGAGAACUAAUCAUCGAUUCCUGUUAGAAGAAGAUCUAUUUUAUGGAGAAUCAUACUUUAUUACCUCUCCUCCAAGACAUCAGAUAGUAGAUACAGUCUUGCCUUCACCACCCGAUGAUUCUUCUCAUGACAAUUCCGUUGAGCAACAACUCAUGGAGCAGGAAUCCCAGGAGAUAAAUCAUGGAGAACCUACAAGCAUUGAGGAAUCAUCUUUGAAGGUGCUGGAUGAGCCACCACGAAGAUCUGGUCGAGCCACUCGUCCACCGGCCUGGACCAAAGAUUAUUUCUGUUCCUCAUCACUAUCAUUAGGUACCCGUUAUCCUUUAUCCUCAUAUGUAUCUUUUGACCGCUUGUCGUCAGACCAUUUAUGUUGCAUUAGUCGAGUUUCUGAGGAAAGGGAGCCAUCUAGUUAUAAUGAGGUUGUACAUGAUGAACGCUGGCAAAAGGCAAUGGAGGCAAAACUUAAGGCCCUAAUUGAUAAUCACACUUGGGAUGUUGUGUCAUUACCUCCUAAUCACAAACCCAUUGGGUGUAAAUGGGUCUAUAAGAUCAAAUAUAGAGCAGAUGGCUCUGUGGAAAGAUACAAGGCCCGAUUGGUGGCCAAGGGCUUCACACAGCGAGAAGGUUUUGAUUACCAUGAGACAUUUUCUCUGGUAGCCAAGGAUGUCACGGUUUGCUCCUUCUUAUUGGUUGCCGCUUUUCGCAACUAGUCAUUGCAUCAGAUGGAUGUCCAUAAUGCUUUUCUUCAUGGUGAUCUAGAAUAGGAGAUUUACAUAGAUCUUCCACAAGGAUUACGGAGACAAGGGGGAGUCGAAGGUAUGUCGUCUUCACAAAUCUCUUUAUGGACUGAAACAGGCCUCUCAACAGUGGUACGCCAAGUUUACUACUGCACUUACGAGAGCUGGAUUCAUGCAGUCCAAACAUGAUUAUGCUUUGUUCACUUGGGCAAAAGGUAUGUCAGUCAUAUACUUGAUGAUUUAUGUUGACAACAUACUUAUUAUGGGAAAUGAUGAUUCCGCUGUGAAAAAGCUUAAAGACUAUCUACAUUUUUCUUUUCAUAUCAAAGACUUAGGGUCACCUAAGUUAUGUUUUAAAUGUGCUUAGUAAUUUCUUGAUCCUGUUUUAUGCAACAAAAUAUGCUUUUUAUCAACUCAUGAAAUAUGUAAUCCACCACGUUUCUCAAAACAUGAGUUUAAAAUACGAAGAAGAAAUAGUGUCACUCACCUGAGAAAAGCCAAAAAUCAACUACGAUGCUCAUACGAACCAACGCAUUCGGAUUCCUAACAAUUAACGGAAAAAUAAUAUUAAAAGGCCGAGUAAAAAAGAUAUUCUUAUAACUACUCGCCUAUACUAGGACUAUUAGUCGAUAAAACGACACCUACGCGCCCCAAAAGCUCACAAUUUAGCAUAAACCCAUCAUUUUCAGCUAGGCGCAGCCCAUGCGCCAACUUCGUCACGCCAUAACUCCCUCCACAAAAUUCUGUUUCAAGCCGUCUUAUAGUCUUUAGAAAGCUCUCUUAACGUACAACAACAACCCCAACUCAGCCGCCCCAAAACAGUACCGAAAAUGACAAAAAAAAAAAGAGACUUGAAGCCACUGUUCGCUACAGUACCAGAUUGCGUCCCCAACUUCAAAAUUCCGUUCCGAACAAACCGCAAGCUCAAAUCAUGAUCCGUAAGAUGCUAUAGCUUCACAACAUCCCAAAGUACCAUUUCUAAAAAAUAUACAGCUUAACGACUCAAAAAUCGGGCUUCACCACACAAAUACUCAAGAAAUCCGAAUUUCGAGCCCUAAUUGCGGCGAUUGCUUCAAGUAAGUGAUUAAAGGCUUCAAUUUCUUACCGGCCUUGCAAAACACACUUGAGUCGGCUUGAUGAGGCGUCUGAAUCACGAGCGCGCCAAAUUUUUUCCCUUUUUCCCUUUUUCCUUUCUUUUCUUUCUCUCUUCUCCCCUGUUUCGCGUUUUCCCCUGCUUCUGCCGAUAUUCUUCUCUUUCUCUUUCUCUCCCUCUUUCUCUCUUUUUAAACUCAGCCGAAGCUUCUUCCACUUUCCUUCAGCCUCCCUUUUUGACUUUUCAACCCUUUUAUUUUUCUUUUCUUUUAUUUUCUUUUCUUGUUUUAAAGCCUAUAUAUUACACUCUCCUCUCCUUAAAAAAAAUUUCGUCCUCGAAAUUUACAGGCACCUCAAUCAUGAAACAAGCGAGGGUAUUUGCGCCUUGCCUCUUCCUCGAGUUCCCAAGUGGCCUCUCUCUCUGUGUGAUUUUGCCAUUGGAUCUUCACAUAAGGAAUAGUGCGUCGUCGCAACACUUGAUCCUUCUUAUCGAUAAUACGAAUGGGCUGCUCCUCGUACGUUAAGUUUUCUCUCAACUUCAAUGGUGUAAAAUCCAAUACGUGGUUAGGAUUUGGCACAUAUUUUCAUAAUAAAGAUACAUGAAAAGGGCCGAGCCACCGGCUAAUAAUAGGUGGAGACCUUGCCAAGGGAGGAAUCUUGGUCGUCUUGUCACGGGCGUUACGAGUGACCAUGGUUAGACAUUUGAGCAUGAAUUAGUCAAUGGAGUGGACCAUUAACGUGUGAUUUGAGUUUGGUCGAUGGAGUGGACCAUUAAUAUGAUUUGAUGAGAUUAAUCAAUGGAAUAGACCAUUGAUGCAUGUUUUAUGAGAUUGACUAAUGGACUAGACCAUUAGUAUUUCGGUAUUUGAGUUAUGAUUAUGUUUUCAAGUUAUGUUUUAAAUGUGCUUAGUAAUUUCUCGAUCUGCUUAGAAGAAAUGUGUUACUCACUGAGCCGUGGUAGCUCACUCCUUUCUUAUACUUGUUUUUUAGGUUCUUCAGCGAGUCGCGAGUAGGCGUGAGCGUUCGCUCGGGGAGGACUUUUAUGAUGGAACUUUUUGGUAUGACUUGUGCAUAGUUAAUAGGUUUAUAAGUUAGUCCUUGUAGAAGGUUUGUGUUUUGAUUUUUGUGGAUUAUAGAUAUACUCCGAUAUAGAUAUUGUAACCAAGUGCCCAUUUUUGUCAAAUAUAUAUAUGUGGAUGUAUAUAUGUUGAUAUCGGGUUGAAUUUUUGGUUACGUUGAGGCUGCGUCCUUUGGUAAAAGGAUGGCCGUGUCAUGUCCUUUUUUCUUGUGAAUCGGGGUGUGACAACUGCAAAACAUCACCAUCAGGACACAUAUCAAAACUACGAGAUGGGCAUCGAAAGGUGUCAAUAAAUAUAUUUAUUAAAACUAAAAUCUUGGGCAAUGUUCGAUUAAUAUGCUUGGAAGAGGCUUGAUUUGAGGCCAGCACUUCUUCUUCUUCUUUUUUUCUUUUUGCAGGAGCAGAAAGAAUAUCAACGUUGAAAAGAGUUGGAGGAGGAGGGUAAGGAACAAACAAAAGGAAUGGACAAAUCAGAAACAUGAAGUGGCAGAGAAUGCAUGGGAAAGCUGCAAAAAGUCUUUCCCAUUGAAAAAUGAUCGCAUUAACUUUUAAUAAAAGAAUGUUUCACCUAAGAGUUAUGUUUAAUAAGAGUAUUGUACGGAAAAUAUUUCUCAUUUUAAAAUAUCUAUUAAGCGCAAUGAGAAAUAAGCUGACUAUAUAGGAAAAUGUAAAAUCUUUCCUUAAUCAAUUACCGGAGCAAAUGCACUCUUGAAGUUUUUGUCAAAAUGCCUCGACAACUUUGCAUUUUCGAAAAUCACUCCGGCAUCCCAGCCAUAUAGACUGCUUUUACUUCCCAGUUAGAUUAGAUUUGGAAACUUGAAUAAUAUACAUUGUUCCCACUGACAUGUGGUGCCACAUCGUAGGUUAGAAACGUUGCCAAGAUGAAAUGGAGUUGACCUCCUUUGAUCUUGACCAAAUCCAUGACUUCCUUCGGUUUCCGCUUAAAUCAGGUUGGCUUGAACUUGGGGCAGGCUUUCCUUCCUAAAAUGGGGUGCGACGUGUCGUUUUAGCUCUCCUAACUUGACCCGGCUCAUCAAUAUCAGCAUUUUCGGCCCCUUGAGUUGAAAAGACAUAAAAGAGGCAAAGUAUAUUUCAUGCCAUUUUCUGGUUGAGCCUCUGAUGGGGCGCAUGCAAAGAGUCGUUUCUGUAAUUUAACCAAAGCUGAAGGUGAGUAUGUUUUCCACCUAAAAUUAGGGAACCAAGUCAUUGCUACAUGGUGCAACUCUUCAUAUCUGCUGAAUGAUUUUCUCCGGGCUAGGUGAUUAAUGGAUUCAGCUUUUCUCAUCUCUACCAGCGCUUUGGAAGUGAGUUCUGCUCCAACUCAUGAUAUCGGUGCAGCAUGACUUCGAGGAGAGUGAAAAAAACUGCCGUGAGCACGAUUCUUGAUCCGAGGGAGGGGAAUACCCUUUUAAUGUUUUCAGUCUUUGACAUUGCAUAAGUUUAGAGGGCUUCCUGUUUCUUUUUCCCGUCUGAGCUCUAGUCUGGCAGCUGCUCACAAAAUGAAAGGAUUCGCUCUACUUGGAGGCCUUCAUUUUGUACAGUAACUUAGAAUUUCGAUUUUCAUCUUUACUUGAGCUCCCAUUAUUGAGUGUAUAAGGGCUUGUUUGGCAAAUUUUAUUUCUGUUUUCCAGAACACAAAUUUAUGUUCUUUUGUUCUGAGAAACAAAAAAAGAACAUAAAUGUAUUUGUUUACACUUUUGUUUCCGUGAAUAGAUUUAGAACAGAAACAAGAAGUAGAAAAAACUUGUUUCUUGUUCUUGGGAACACUUUCGAGAAACACUUUUUUUUUCUCCUUUAUUCUUCUUUUUUCUUUGACCGGUCGCCGGCCUCGGCCAUGGCCGGCAACCAGCCAUCGAGGGCCAGUGACCUUGCCGGAGCGUCACUGGCCCGCAACGAGGCCGCCGACCCUCAUCAGCCGGUCGCCGGCCAUGGCCGAGGCUGGUGACCGGCCAAAAGGAAGAAAGAAAAAAAAAAGAAAAAAAAGGAAAAAAAAAUAGAAAUACUAAAAAAUUAAAAGAAACAAAAAAAUGAUACAAGUUUAUCAAACGUGUUUCUGUUCUUUUUCUAUUCCAAGAAUAUAAAUUUUGUGCAGUUAUCAAAUGCAUUCUUCUGUUUAAAAAUUGUUUGCCGAAACAAAAAUAAUUUUUUCUAUUUCUGUUUUCGGGAACAAUUUUUGAAUAGAAAUGUUACCAAACGCACCCUAAGUCAAUCGUUUGCUGUUAGAAGUUGUUUUUGGCUAACGAUAGAACACUCCAUAAAUGUAAAGCACGGAGUCCCCGCUGUUCCCCUGGAAAAUCUAAAACACAUUUAGGAUGCUUGUGUGAUCUGGUCAGAUAUGAGAAUGGCCCUUUUAGCUCGAGUGGACCUAGGAGACCUAAAGUUAUGCCAAAAAUUAAACUCAAGAUGAUUGCUCGUAUUUAUUUUUCCACAAGAGAAAAUUGGUAAUAAUAGCGCACAAUGUCGAGUAAAUUUCUCAUUAUUUUUUUAUUGGCUAAGCCUCUCAAGGUCUUCCUCACUGCCUACCACAUAUCCCAUUUAAGAGCAGUUUCUGCUCAUCGGGCAUAACACUAACCCAGUUUAUUUUGGUAUGUCGGAUGGAAUUCUCCAUAACAAGUAUGACAGGAGGUUACAGGUUCAGAAAGCCAAUGGACUAUGUAUGGUAUGGUCUGGCUUUUCCUGUUUUAUUUUGUCCCCAUCUUUCUUAAAUAUCUUGUUCCUUGGAUAUGAAAGUUCUGAGAUUGUUUUCUCUCAGCAACAUUGUUUUCUGCCGUUGCAGGGAGAUGCCUCGCAGGGUAGUUGAAGGGAAGUACUUUGUGAAUUGAAACGAAGACAAUAAUCCAUUAGAAAGAGAACUCGAAUCGUCAUUAUCAUAUACUUGUGCCUAAUCUAGCAAUGACCAAUUUUGGCCAGAAAUAUCUAAUGUGAAUAUCGGCUGUCCUAUGUGAUACAAUCACCAUAUCAGCAAUUUAUAGCCAAAAUUAGCUAAAAUAACUAUAUUAGUAAAUCGUCAAAAUCUUUAAGAUUAAAUUGACAAAUUAUCAAAAGAAUUAGAAUUGAAUUGAUAAAAUCAAAAAAAUUUAUAAUUGAGUUGGCCACCGUAUAAUAAAUUUAAGAUUUUUUGAAUAAUUAUCCCGAACAAAAAAAAAUGUCUAUUACUCCCUACAUUAUACAAUUUUACUUAAGUAGAUAUUAUCUUAUGUUAAGUUUCGUUGAAUUUACAAAAUAUUUUGUCUCGCUUUUGGGUCGUGAUCCUGCAUUUGCCAUUUGUGAAGUGCACUAUCCUAUACAUGUGAAGAUGUCACGUAACGAGCAUUAAUCUCCUAAAGCUUUUCAGUUUUUAAGUUUAAUUAAAAUUUUCAUUUUCCUUUUGAAAAAUGUGUGCGACAUUUUACCAUAUCUUGUACAGAUGGCACAUAAACAUAUUGUAUGAAUGUCAAUUUAAUCAUAAAUCUUUUAAUUUAAUCACUUUUAUAAACUUGUUGACAUUUUGCCAAUGUUGUGCUUCAAGCCAAUUUUGGUCAAAAAUAGUUGACAUAAACACUGGCCAUCAUACGUGGCACAAUUAAUGCUAAUGUGGACAAUUUGAUAAAUUUUCUUCUUUUUUUUUCUUUUCUUUUUUAUUGGUUGAAGAAGGUCUUCGAGCCCUCACCGGUCGUAGGAGGCGAUCUAAGUGUGAUUCCAGCAAAUUCAACAUGUGAACUCGACAAAAACACAUCAGAUUCAAUUCAGUUCCAUACAAGAUAUUCUUAGCCACAUCUAGCAAUACUCAAAAUUGAAUUUAUGUCACGACAACGCUGAAUGUAGAUCUAGACCGAGACGGAAACAAAUCAAAGUGCAUAGCUCUGAUGUAGAUUCUCAUUGCAAGACAACAUACUUAAGGAACGGCUAUACAGCAAAAACGAUCAACAUAAACUCAUAUACAAUGAGGAAAGCGAUGCAAGCGAACUAUAAAUGAGCCAAUUUCAUAACAGGAAGCCCUCGGUCACGAACACAAUAGGCGAUUUAAGCAUUGUAACGCGCGCGAGUUUGUUUCCAACGUUUAGAGCGAUGGAGAGGGGGAGAGGGAGCGGUUCCAAUGAGAUGGACUAGGCUCAAUAUACAUCUUUAAGUGUUUCGCCGAAUUGGGCUUAAUGGGUUUCAUUAGAACUUGCCUAGGCUGCUCUUAUGGAUCUGAUGGGCUGAGACGAAUUGUGCCAGGUGCUUGAUGGGCUUGACUUGUGGUCUGCUGCGCUUGUGGUCGGAUCGAGCUGGGCUGGAACAAGGUGAUCAAACCGGGCUGGAGUGAUGGGCUUUGAUGGACCUGGUGCUUCAUUGUGUUUAUUUUCUAUUCUAAUUUUCAUUAUUAUGUUUCCAUUUUUUUAUUUAUCUUUAGUUAUUUUUAAUUAAUAUAUAUAUUUCCUUUUUAAUUACAAAAAAUGCAUGUUUAACUUGUUGAGGAAAAUUAAGGUUUAAAUAUUGUGGUGACGCAAAUGGGUCUUUCCCAAAAUAUUACGAAUAAUUAAAUGGUAUCAUGUUUAUCAAUCCAAAGUUGAUGAGAUUGAUAAACAUAAAAAUACUACAAACUUAGAACUGUCUUCCUGAAGUUGUAGUUAUAGAAAACAUAUGUAGAUUUAGUCUAUGGGUAAUGUUAUAGACAUAACUAAUUAUGUUAUAGACAUAACGAAUUAAAGUGUAGAAGCUAUAUAAAAACCUAUGUUUACUAGCAAGAUUUAGCGUAGGAUCUACAGAUUCUUGCAAUGUGAUUAUCUUGAUCUAGUAGAUUAAAUUUACGCAAUACUCACCCAUGGAGUUGUGCCUAUAUAUAAGGUGUGUUUUUCAUGCAUUUGUAUAGCUUGAACACUUGUGGUCUUGGGACAAAAAGGAUGUUAAACACCAAAUUCCGCAUGUACGGUUAUUGUCGUCGUCAUCAUUAUUCUUUCUGCAUUUUGCUAGGCAAGUAUCGAAGGAAGCAGCUACAAUCCAAACUUUAAAGAUCUCUUGGAUCAUGAUACAUAUGGUCACCUCAAGAUCAAGCCUUUCUUUUCUUCUUUCCAUAAUAGAAAUUAAAUAGUUUUAACUCAAGCCCUUGCAGCUCUCACAAAUAAGAUUGCUUGAAUCAGCUCCUAGUCAGAUGGUAAGCUAAGUCAUGCCACAAACAUGAGCAAUAAAUGUGUUGUGGCCCAUUGAAUCUAAGCAAAAUUCUUUUCGAUAGAUGUGUGAUUUGGGGAUAGAAUGAAUGGCCUUUAGCCUAUCCAAUGAAGCGGGGAAUAAUCGGCAAGACAUGAAAGCUUGAAAAAUUGGGGCUUUUCGCAGAAUAGAACAUGUCGUUGCCCAACAUGAGUUGAAAGUGAUGACGAUAUUAGCAUUAUAAGCAGGAGAGUUAACGACACUCCAAAUAACACAUGAAACGGUAACGAACUUAAGAUGAAAGUUGAAUCCAGCUCACAAAAACCAAUAUUAAAUACUUUUUUUGUCUGAAUCCUUAUAUAUGUUCAUUCAAUUUUCAUAAAUUCGUGUAUAGCUUAAGAAAGUGCCUAUCCUACUCUGGAGCAUUAGAAAGUUAAUUGUAGACCAAUCGACAAAGUAUCCGAUCUGAAUGUGGAUCGAACGAGGAUACUAUUUUUAAGGUAGAAGGCCCAAGCCGCAAGCCUCAUGACUUGAAGUCAUUAAGCUGAUCAAUCAAUAUCCCAUGCUAAUGGUAUGAGAAGGGGAUAGUGGUCCAAAAAGUCCUGAAUCUAUUGUACGAUAGCUAAUAUAAUUCUAAACCCUUUCAAUUGUGCCAAGUUAGUUCUAAAUCUUUUAAGAAUUUGUUAAUUUAGUUCUAAACAUUUCAAUUGUGUCAAUUUAGUUCUAAAGCUACCUAUUAUUUAGAUAAAUGGCUAGAAGGACUACAUUGGCAAAUCAUCAUAAAGGUUUAGGACUAAAUUGAUAAAUUAUCAAAAAUGUUAUAACUAAUUAGUACAAUUGAAAGGUUUAGAUCAAAAAAUUUAUAACUAAAUUGACAUAAUUGAAAGGUUUAGGUUGUUGUAUAAUAUGUUUUAAGACUUUUUUUGGACAAUUUUAACAUUUGAAAAGGGAAUGAUAAUAGCGACAUGUUAAUUAGAAUUGCAAAGUCAUUGUACCUUAAGUGAAAAACACAAGAAACGUGAUCUUGUUACUAUGGGGUCCCAUGAAGUAGGUCGUGUCAUUAUCUAGUUGUGAGUAGUGGAUACUUCAAUCAAUUUGCAACAAUCCUUUUCUUCUUCUAGGGAAGGUUGUUUUGGGAGUGCUUUUUUGUACAAGCUCAGUGAAUACUUUGACUUCAAUAUGCAAGAUUGUGCAUAAGUUUGUGAAUUGUAUUGGGAGAGAAUUGAUCAUUGUGUUCAAUAGUUGUGAAAAUCAUGAUAAGAUUUAGUGAUUAUUUUGCAAGGAAUUGUGCAUGUUGAAAACUAUGUGAAUUAUUAGAUGGGACUGGGGAAUAAGAAAAACUAAGAGUACUUGAAUGACUCGAGCACUGUUAUAACCUCUGCCGUAUUGUUUAAUUAAAUAUGAAAUUUUAUGUUGCUCUCACAGUGGACAAAAUUAUAUCGACCGAACCAUGUAAUAUGGUGUUCGAUUUUUCAUUUUUGCAUAUUGAUUUAUUAUUGUUCGAUUGCUUUAUUUUUAUGCAACUAUAAUAUAGAUAACGAAACAAAUUACCAAAAACAAGAUGUAUGUGUUGAGGUGUAUAUUUCAAUUGAUGGUGUCAAAUUCUAGUUGUUUUGAAAGUGAGGGAAAUUAUUAAGUCGUUUUAUAUGUUAACUUUACUUAAUAAUGAAAUAUCAAUUAAAAAAAAAUCGAUCCCACAUAUUCUGGGGAAAAAUCAGUACAAUCAAACUUUUAUUAAUCGAUUUAUGAGCAACCUAAAGAUAAUUCUUUUAAAAGACAAGUUGUGGUGAUUUUGAUUGAGAAAAGCCGUGGUUAUACUCAAUUUUUUUGUGUCCAAUCAAUCACGAUAUGGCCAUUAGUGACACUGUGUCACUUUUGAAAAACGCAAAAGGAAAAGGAGACAAUUACUCUUCUUUCUUUUUGCGUUCAAUGAAACGUCAUAUUGCCAUGUGAAACGCACCAUUGUCGAAAUGAUUCGCCCCAUUGUCUUUACUUUGGAAAAACAGCCAAAGAGGAAGGAGACAAUUAUUAUUAUUCUAUCCUUAAAGGACCUGUAGUGGAGUAUGAACUAUGAACCUUCUUAUGGCCAUGCGAAACGUUGCCCCUUUAUUAGCUGUAAAGGAUUCGUAACAUUAGUGUUACUUUGGAAAAACAACAAAAGGAAAAGCAGACAUUAUGGUGGAGGGUGGACCUUAUUAUGGAGACUUUUGAUACUUCUUGUCCGAAGUGCACUAUGGUCCUAAGUUCACAAAAGUUCUUCCAAUCAAAUGUCGCAUGUCCAUGUGAAAUGCAAUAUUUUUUUUACUUGCAAAUGAUCCACGACAUUAGUGUUACUUUGGAAAAGAAAAGCAAGAAGCAGACAUUAUUGUCCUCUAAAGACAUGAAGUGCACUAUGGACUUUAUUUGUGUUUGAGCAAAACAACAAAUUGACCGGUGGGACAUGAAAAGAUAAGGAUGAUCCUGAGUUUGCAAAAGUUCACCCAAACAAUUUGGGAUAAGAACAAUAUCAUUGUCAUAAUUAUUGUAUGACAUCCAUUUUACCGUCAAAAUUUUCCAAACGGGAAAAUGCAACGUGUGUAUAUUUCAAUCACGAUGCUUGUGGCCUCAUUAAUGAUUGUACGUUAGAUUAUCACAAAUUUGUCACAAUUUCUUCUCUUUUUCCCCCAAAAAAGACUUAUCACAAUGGAGAAAGGGCUAUUAAGUCAUAGGUUUGACGUGUGCAUUAGCUAAUCAAAAGUUCUUUAGAAGGUGCCGUGUGAUUUCAAUGGCCAGAUUUUUUGGAAGCCUCUGCUGACAAGAAAAUUCCGACAUUAAACAUCAACAGUUCAAAAUUUUCCACAGAAAACGCCACAAAAGGUUAUCCUUAAUUAUACAUAUCUUUAGUAAUUUUCCAUAGAAAAUUAAUAUUUUGCUAAUAUAAUGUUUUUUUUUUCCUGAGAAAGCUACCUUACCUAGGUAAUUCUAAAUUCAUAGAGUGCUCUACUAUUUUUAUGAAUUAGUUAGCUAAGAAACGGAUUAAAACUUGGUUGAAAUAUCUAAUUGAUAACCAAGUUAUCUGCAUCUAGUCAUAUGAAAAAUUCGAAUAAUACAAACACGCAAUUCUCCUUUAUGUGUCAAUUAUUUAACCAUUAAGCCAGUCGCAUGGUUCAUCGAUUCUGUCUCCUUAUUCUUAUCCUUUGGCCAUGGCCCUUGGGGCUAUUAUUCUGUUAGGCUUCUAGAAAGUAGAAGGCAAUCUUUUCCACGAUCUUUUUAAGUAUAGAGGCGACAAAGAUAUGUGUACACAUCGUUCAUUUGUUUUGAUGUGAUGUCAUAGUUGCAUGCGAGAGAGAUCCCAAUUCCGUGUAUGCGGUUAAGCAAGCCCUGCCGCCAGCUUCCACCCAGACAAAAAACGUGAGCGCCUAGCGCGAAAGGUUGCUUUACUAAAAAAAAAUAGUUGGCGCGUUAGCGCUUUAGUCUUCAAUAAGGGGCGGAGCUUGAAGAAGCGAAGCGAGCCUAUAGUAGCAGCCUAUUACGUUUUUCAGGCCCUUUUACUUGAUAUUCUGUUAGUCAAGCGCUAGCGCUCCUAUAGAGUCAGGCUCUUCUGCUAUCAAUGAAAAAACUGUAAUCUAGAGAUUCAACUAUUUUGUACCGCUAAUCUAAUACUUAUACACACUGUAGUAAUAGGGUAUGAGUAUUCCUAUAUACCAAAUUCCACCUAUUUGAAAGGCUAGUGGGCAUAUUGAAGCUGGGUAGCUCUUCUUUUCCAGGGACAAAACAAUAGGCUUUUUCUUUUUUUGACCCCGGACCAAAUAAAACAAGGAAGCUUUGCUAUGCAUAUAAUCAUUGUUGCUUGGCAAAAUGGGGGGAAAAACAAAUUGAAGCUUGAAGCUUUGCAAUUUAAUUCAACUAUAGCCACCUGGUUUUCUUUUCCAUCUAUUGAGAAAGCAUAUCUAGGCGACAAUGAUAGAAUUGAAUAAAAACUAACAAUUUUUUUUUCUUUCUAAUCAUCGUUGAAAAAUGAUUUUUUAUUGAGUGUUUUUGGACACUUGUAGAGCAAUUAACAAUGAAAAUUUUAUAGCUUGCAAUGGAUCGGGGUCUCAUGUUAGUAGAAUAGUACUCGGAACACAUAUGAUCAGUAUUUAAUGAAUAUACAUUUACAUAGAUUAAGUUUAUAUAACAACUGCUCCAUUAUUUGACAUCGAGAUGGCGUUCAUGAGGCUGCAUCAAUGAAACCGUGAUUCCAUAUGAACUAUGCGAUGCAUGAUGAUGGCGGAUGGGUGCAUUUGGGAAAUGUGCGAUAGGAGUGGCGAGAGGGAACUGAUGAACAAUAAAAAAGCAGAAGUUUCGGGGUUGGGUUGACGACGGGCCCACUUCUUUACCCUCUGAACCUUUGGUGGCUUCGAUGAUUUAAAAAAAAGUAAUACAGGAUAAAAUUAUGCAAUAUUAAUGAACGAAAUAAUUUAUAGAAAUCUCUCCACCCUACAUAAAAACAUCUCUAUGCACCGUUGUAGAGGAUAAAAAGGUUGUCUUGUUCAUCCACUUUGUCUCUUUAUGCAAAUCAUCGCUACUUCCUCAAUUCUUAUAAUAGCUCGAUGGGCAAAAAUUUAUUUAUAUAUGGAAUGACGAAAAGCAAAACAGAUUUGAAUGCAAAAAAAGGGUGAAGGAGGGAGAUCCUCGAAGAGCAAUCAAUGGAGAAAGAAACAUCAGGAAGUUUUUACAGGAAUAUGUAAUUAUCAACGGCUGAGAUUUAAUACCAUUCAUCCAACAAUUUAGAACCUUAAUAAAGACCCAAACAUGAGGAAGAAAGAGGAGAUUGGUAUGGACCAUGGAACUCUAUAGCCUAACCUUAGUUAAUGCCUUAACUAAACACCAAUCUAUUUCUUGGUAAUUGGUAGCGGACUGCUCUAAAUCAUCUCUAGUCGAAACUGAAUAUUAAAAUCAGACCAAAAAAAAGAAAACCUAAAUGUUAAAGAAAGACUAUUGCUGAUUGCCUCAAUCAAGACGAGUAUAUGUACGGAGAUGGAUGAUGAGGUUUUAGUCUUAAACCAGCUUCUUGUCUGCCAUUAUUAGGAGAAGGAACGGAAAGAACAACAAUAGAGAUGGAUGGGCAUUACGUAACAUUUAUGCACAUUAUAACACUAGGAUAUGCAAGUAAAUAUUAAAUUCCACCUAUCUGAACAGCAUGUGGGCAUACUAAAGUUAGGUUGCUCCUCUUUAACUGGGAUAAAACAAUAAACAUGUAUAUUUUUUGACCAAGGAAGCUUUGCUAUGAUAUAAUCUAUGAUAUAAUCAUUGUUGCUUGGUAAAAAGGGGAAAAAAAACAAAUUGAAGCUUGAAGGUUUGCAAUUUAAUUCUAUCUAUAACCACCCAAUUUUCUUUUCCAUCUAAUAUAAUCUGAUUAUAUAUUAUUGGGAGAGCAUAUUUAGGUGAUAAUGACAGAAUUGAAGAGAAACUAACAAUUUAAAAAAAAAAAUUUAUCAUCAUUUAAAAAUAAUUUUUUUAUAGUGUUUUUGGACACUUUUUGAGCGAUCGACGAUGAAAAUUUUGCAGCUUCAAUGUAUGGGGCUCAUGUUAUGCAGAAAAGUAGUUGGGACCCAUAUGAUCAGUGUUUAAUGAUGAUAAAUUUACAUAGAUUAAGUUUAUGUAACACUUGCUCAAAAAAAAAAAAUUUUAUGUAACAACUACUCCACGAUUUGAUAACGGGAUCGGGUUCAUGAGACUGCAACAACGAAACCGUGAUGCCAUAUGAGCUAUGUGAUGUAUGGUGAUGGCGGAUGGGUGCAUUUGGGAAUUGUUUGAUGGGAGUGGUGAGAGAGAACUGAUGAACGACAAUAAAGCAGAAGUUUCGGGGUUUGGUUGGAUACGGGCCCACUUCUUUACCUUCUGAACUUUUGGUGGCUUUAACGAUUCCAAGACUUUGGUCCCAUUUCCGACCAACUUGCUUCAGAGAAAUUGAGGCAACAGAAAUGAAAUUAAAUCAAAUGAGACGCGAUGAAAUGCAAUGGCAGCUUCUUCCGAUAAAGAAAGAGCACUUUACUGCUUAAUAAGUCCAUUGAUUCGCUCCAUCAUUUGAUGCUGUUGUCCUAGACGGAAGAACUUCUAUUUCCUCUCCGCUCUGUAUACUUUGUGUUGACCCUUCUGGACACUCCUGUUUAGUCCUCUGCUGCUCACGAACCAAGCCAUGCCCAUCACGGAGCUCUAUCUUGGUGCCUUUCUUCAGGUGUUGUUCGAUAGGUUGGCCUCUGUCGAGCUUCUCAACUUUGCACGGCGUGAGGGGAUUGAUACGCGGUUGAAGGAAUGGGAGAAGAUGCUGAAGAGUUAAUUCGACCAAUAGCUACCUGCUCUUUUUUCAUCUAAUCUAAUCCGAUUAUGUAUUCUUGAGAGAGCUUAUCUAGGUGACAAUCAUGGAAUUGAAGAAAAAGUAGCAACUUUCCUUUUCUUUCUUAUCAUCAUUUAAAAAUGAUUUUGUUAUCGAAUGUUUUUUGACACGUUGAGAAAUUGACAACAAAAAUUUUGUAGCUUUCAAUGUAUGGGAUUUUCAUGUUAAAUAGAAUAGUGGGGUUAGGACCCAUUUGAUCAGUGCUUAUGAUGAUACAUUUACAUAGAUUAAGUAUAUGUAGCAACCGCCCCAUUAUUUGAUAACGGGAUGGGGUUCACGAGGCUGCUUUAGAAAAUAUGAUGCCAUAUGAUUUAGGUGAUGCAUGAUGAUAGUGGAUGGGUGCAUUUGGGAAUAGUGUGAUGGGGGUGGUGAGAGAAAACUGAUGAACACUGAUAAAGCAGAAGUUUCGGGGUUGGGUUGGAUACGGGCCCACUUCUUUCACUUCUGAACCUUUGGUGGCUUUAAUAAUUUCAAGACUUUGGUCCCAUUUCCGACCAACUUGCUUCAGAGAAAUUGAGGCAACAAAAAUGAAAUUAAAUCAAAAGGGACGUGAUGGCAACUUCUUCCGAGAAAGAAAGAGCCCUUUAGUGCUUAAAAAGUCUUUUGAUUCGCUCCAUUAUUAGAUGUUGUUGUCCUGGCCGGAGUAACUUUUGUUCUGCACACUUUCAUUCAACCCUUCUGGGCACUCUUGUUUAGUCCUCUACCGCUCACAAAUCAGCCAUGCCCAUCACAGAGCUCUUUCUCGGCGCCUUUCUUCAGGUGUUGUUCGAUAGGUUGGCCUCUCCGGAGCUCCUCAACUUUGCACGGCGUGAGGGGAUUGAUAUGCGGUUGAAGAAAUGGGAGAAGAUGCUGGAGAGUCUCAAGGAGGUGUUGGAUGAUGCAGAGGAUAGGCAACUCACCGGCCAUCUCGGGGUGAAGUCGUGGCUAGAAGAUCUUAGAAACUUGGCCUAUGACAUCGAAGAUUUGCUUGAUGAGUUCGUCACAGAAUCCGCUGAAAGCAAGUCCAAGGCAGAAUCCAACACUAGCAAGGCGCAUUCCCUUCUUUCCAAUUGUUGCUUCAGAUUAAGUCCGAGAGAAUUCAUGCUCAACCACAAAAUGAGAUCUAAGAUGGAAGAGAUGGAUGCCAAAUUACUGGAGAUCGUAACUCAAAAAGACAGUCUGAGCCUAAGAGAGAAUAACGAGAAGCGAUCAACAAAUCAUUUACAGGAUAAGCCAAUUCCAACAACACAUUUGAUCGAGGGUUGUUUUGUUGGUAGGGAAGAUAAAAAAAUGGAGAUUCUCAAAUUACUAACCGAAGAAGAAGAUGAUAGAACAACUACAAACAUAAGAGUGAUUCCCAUCGUAGGGAUGGCGGGUCUUGGGAAGACAGCUUUGGCUCAGCAAGUCUUCAAUGAUGCCAGAGUGACCAGCUACUUCGAUGUAAAAGCAUGGACUUGUGUUUCUGAUGAUUUCGUCAUGCUUGCUAUUACAAAGAGUAUCCUACAAAAAAUCGACUGCACUUUGUCUUCUGAAGAUAAGGACCUGGAUUGGCUUUAGGAUAAGCUCAAACAAAACCUUUCGGGGAGAAAGUUUCUUGUCGUUUUGGACGAUGUUUGGAACGAGAAUUAUGGAAACUGGACUAUCCUCUUGAAGCCUUUUCAAUCGGGAGCAAAGGGAAGCAAAAUCAUUGUCACGACCCGUAAUUCCCACGUUGCCAAAAUAGCCGGUGCUCGACCAUUUACUCUCAAAGAGUUGUCACUAGAAGCUUGCGUGACUCUGUUUGCAUUUCAUGCUCUUGGAGUAAAAAAUUUUGAUCAUCAUCCUUAUCUUGAAGCAUUAGGUCUCAAAAUAGUGGAAAAAUGCAAAGGGUUGCCAUUAGCAGUGAAGACAUUGGCUGGGCUGCUACGCACUAAAGUUGGUCCCCAUGAAUGGCAAGCUAUAUUGAACAGCAAGAUUUGGGAUCUACCGAAAGAAAGAAAUGACAUCCUUCCGGCUUUGAAACUUAGCUACCUCCAUCUCCCUUCCAAUCUAAGGAGAUGUUUCGCUUACUGUGCUAUAUUUCCCAAGGACUAUGAAAUCCAACGGGACAAGUUAAUUCAUUGGUGGAUUGCAGAGGGCUUGGUGGACAAAAAAGAAGCAAAGAGUCAAUGGAAUACAGGUUUGAAUUAUUUCAAUGAGCUAGUAGACAGGUCGUUAUUUCAAAAGUCAAGUAGCAAUGGAUUAGAAUUCUUAAUGCAUGAUCUUGUGAAUGACCUGGCAAAGCUAGUUGCAGGUGCAUCCCAUUGUAGCUCGGGGGAAUUUGAGUUUGUGGAUGAUCACAAUAAUGCAUCUUUAGCUCGUCACGCCUCAUUCCUUCCAAGCAAUUAUUUUAUGCCAAAAAGAUUCGAGAUAUAUCAUCGAAUGCAGGGACUUAGGAGCUUCAUAUCAUUAGAGAAGCAACAUCGGUCUUCCUUUGUGACCCAGAAAGUGCUACAUGACUUGUUGUCGGUAUUGAAAUACUUAAGGGUGCUUUCAUUGAGUCGCUAUAACAUUAGGGAGGUACCAGAAUGCAUUGGAAAACUAAGGCACCUAAGGCACCUUAAUCUAUCACAUACUCAUAUUGAAACCCUUCCAAAGUCGAUUGUUGCAUUGCACAAUCUAGAAGCUUUAAUAUUGCAAGGCUGUCGCAAGCUUAUCAAAUUACCUGAAGGUAUGGGAAAACUAAUCAAUCUAAGAUUUCUUAACAUUACCAAUACUCCAAUUCUAAGAGCAAUGCCACUAAAUAUAGGUAAUUUGUUGGGUCUUGAGAUCUUGUCCAAGUUUAUAGUUGGAACGGAAAAUGGGUCAAGGUUGAAUGAGUUAAGAAACCUAAAGAACCUGCAAGAGGAAUUGUGCAUCUCUGAUUUGCAUAAAGUUCAAGAAGCUAGAGAAGCCAAAGAUGCCAAUUUACUCAUGAAGGAGGGAAUAUGCCGGUUGAACAUGCAAUGGUGCACAAAUUUUGAAAAUUUCCGGAAUGAAGAGCUUGAAACAAAGGUCCUUGACUUUCUUUGCCCUCACCAAAACCUUGCACAUCUUAAAAUAUCCUACUAUGGCGGCCUAAAAUUCCCAUCUUGGUUAGGUAGUCCGACACAUGUUAACAUAAUGCAUUUACAUUUAUAUGGGUGUCAAAGGGUCAAAGAAUUACCAUCGCUUGGGCAGCUAUCUUCGUUGAAAGAAUUGUACAUCAAAGGUUUAAAUGCAAUAUGCAUGGUAGGGUCUGAAUUUUAUGGAAGUAAAAGUCCUUUUCCAUCCUUGUUGACUUUGGAAUUCAAGGGCAUGCCAUUGUGGGAGGACUGGUCUCAUUGCAUCGACGCUGAAGAAGUUGGAGUUGUAUUCCCUUGCCUUGAGCAUCUUGUCAUUCAGGAUUGCCCUAUGCUGAUCGGAAGAUUGCCUAGUCAACUAAGCUCCCUUGUACAGCUCACAAUUAACUCAUGUCCACGUUUGGAAGCCUCGCCAUCUUUCAAUAGCCUUCCAUCUCUCAAUGAAUUAAAAUUCGAAGGUUGUAAUGAGAGGGUGCUGCAUAGUUUGGUAAACCUGGCAUCUCUUACUGCUCUAGACAUAAAUGAUGUUGCUGAACUCACUUGCUUAAAUCAUGGGUUUACAAGCUCCUUGAUCAAGCUAGAGAAGUUGACGAUCGAAAAGUGUGCAAAGUUAAUAUAUAUGUGGCAAGAUGGAGAUGUAAUUCGGAAUCUCAAUUGUCUGAAGAGAUUAGUCGUAUGUAGUUGUUCAGAAUUCAUAUAUUUUGUGGCUGAAGAAGGAGAUAUAGAGCUACCUGGCAACCUCGAGACUAUCGAAUUGAGUGAUUGUGUCAAUUUAGAGAAGCUUCCAAGCAAGAUGCACACCCUCUCCUCUCUUAGAGACUUGAGUAUCUUUAAUUGUCCAAAACUCGUGUCCUUCCCAGAAAUAUGUAUACCAACAUCUCUGACAUCAUUAAACAUCGAGUUCUGCAAGAUGUUGCAAUCUUUACCCAGAGGAUUAAGUGCUCAUCUAGAUGAACCUAGCAGCAGCAGUAGCAAUACCCACAGUGACAUUAUAUCUUGUCUACAAGACUUAAGAAUCUACGAAUGCAAUUCUUUGCCAUCCUCUCCAUUCAGCGAGGGUAUAUUUUUACCCACGACCCUCAAGAGACUUGACAUUAGUUACUGCAGGGGAGUGGAGUCGCUUGCGGAUAUAAAUCUAGACCGUCUUCAGUCUAUUCAAGAGAUUAAAAUUUUGGAAUUGAAGAAUUUGAGAAGCUUACCCCAGGGUCUACACAAGCUAUCUCGGCUCACUUCCUUGCAUUUGCGGAAUUGUCCUGCACUGGAGCUGGAGUGCUUCCCCCCUCUUCCUCCCAGCAUCUCGAGAUUUAUUCUUCACGGUUGUCCGAAGAUAAAAUCGUUACCUAAUCAGUUGCAUCGACUCACGAGUCUUCGAUUUCUAUCAAUUUCGGGGUGGGAGAGUUUGACGCACUUCCCCGAUGGAGGAUUGCCGCCCCAGCUAGAGUCUCUUGUGAUAUUAAAAUGCGAGAAUAUGAAGCAGCCGGUGAGGGAGUGGCUCACCCCUCUCACCUCCCUUCAACAGCUGGUGAUCGACGGCAGCGUGGGAGGAGUAGGAGAAGAGGAGGAUCUUGUGCUUCCGCUCCCUUCCUCUCUGCUCCGUCUCUAUAUCCAUGAUAUGGGAAAAGUGGAAAGACUGUCCAGCACUCUCCCUCCCUCUCUCCGGACCUUGGACAUCCAGAAUUGCCCGAAGCUGAGGGAGUUGCCCCAGGAUGGCCUCCCUCCCUCCCUAGAACUACUCCGGAUCAGAAGAUGUGGGAUUCUGGAGGAGCGAUGCAGGAAAGGGACCGGCUGCUAUUGGCCCCUCAUCCGCGAAAUCCCAGAUAUUCGAGGAGUCUGAGGCCUGGCUCUUUCAUCAUCUGUGUCCUUCCCCUGAUGUUGUGUGCACCUCCAUCGCCACUGCUGCUUCGACUCUCCACUCCGUCGUCGUCCUCAU